CAUCUCUUCCGGUUUUUUAUUACAGCUUCCAGAAUCUGAAUCAUUUUGGCCUUGUACAACGGUUUGUUAACCAUCAUGACAUGCCCUUUUCGUCUAAGUUCUGUUUUGACUAUAUUGGAGGUGUCAUGCUUCAGCAGCCAAGCAAACUUUGCUUUGUUGGAGAAUCUGUCGAGGUAGUUAAGCUGUUCCUUCCAUAUAUCUGUGGUGAGAUCAAGUACUCCGAUAUCCACCACUACGACAAACACAGGGUUCUUGAUUUCUUCUAUAUUUGAAAGCUCUGCUCUCAGUGAAUCAGCAAUAUUGUUCUGUGAAUCAAAGCUGUUGUCACGGCUUCCCAUCUCCAAAAGGUCUCUAAUGAUCUGAGUCAGCUCGUUCCAGUCCGAUGCUUCAACAGUUGCAAUGCCGUGUUUACGCAACCACUUCGAUGUGAUCAUUCUUGCUGUACUUCCAUACAUGGAAAGCAAAACCUAUAGCAUUCAAAACCAAUAACAAUUUCACAAACACAUAACCUUUACACCAAUAACAAUUUCUUUCCCAGAUUACGUACCACGAGACCAUAUUUGGAGAAAUCUGGCUGGAUAUUUUGAUCUGCAGUUUCAGGAGUACUCAAAAUCAAGUACAGUCUCAUUAGAGUCCCUAAGCCAUUCUUCUGCACUACUUUAAUUUCUCCACCCAUUUUGUUAACCUGUAAAAUUACAAAGUAGGUUUCAGAUAAUUUAGUUGCUUCUAUGAAUCAUUAAUUCCUUAAGUUCCAAAACUUAACACACCAAGUUUCGCACGAUACAUAGUCCAAGACCAGUUCCUCCGUGCCUGAAGAAAUAUAAGACCAGCGAGAUAUAAGAUUCAACUAACUAACAGCACAGUUUUUGCUUAAACAUUCACUGCUUGCAGUAAUCAUGAUCUCUUACGUCCGAGUGGUAGAAGGAUCAGCUUGCUCAAAGCUCUCAAAAACCGAGUCCCAUUUGCUUGAUUCUAUUCCUGAAGAUAAUAUUUACAUAAUAAAGAGAUUUUCAGAAUUUGGGAGAUUGAUAAAGCGGAUAGCAAAAGGAAUCUAAGGAACUCAAGUGUCAUACCACAUCCAGUGUCAUCAACCUCAAACCAAAGAACCAUUUUGUUCGCGUUCUUACAAGACUUCUGCAAAUGAUUUCUGUGUUGCACCAGUUUUGUCUUCAUUGGAGCCCAUGGUUUCUUCCUGUCAACAGUUAAUCUCAUCUCAUCAUGUAGAGAAUUUAUGUUCUCGCACCAUCCACGAAGAAUUAUGUGACCCGCUGCAAAGCAACCAUCAUUUUAUAAUUAGCAAUGCAUCUCUUUCAUGAAAACGAAGAGAAGAUAGAUGGUCACAAAACUUACUUGUUGUAAACUUUAUAGAAUUGCUUAUAAGAUUUGCAAAUAUUUGAACAAGUCUUGCCGAGUCUCCUCUGACUAACGCUGGCAUAUCAUCUGCAAAAAGAGAAAAAUAUAUGAGAGUUCAUAACCAAACAUUCAUUGUAGAAAAAUUCAUUAGUGGCUGUCUAAAUAUAAUACCGAGUCAUACCAGAGAGGUCUAGAACUGUCUCUACAUUGUGGUUAAUACACUGCACUGAGAACAUGUCAACAAGUCCUUCAAGUUCUCGCCCCAAAUCGAACUCAGCUUCUUCCAGAACAAGCUUUCCUGACUCAACCUAUGAGGUGGAAAAGGAAGAAAUUAGCUUGUAGCUACAAUUAACAUACUAGUUUCGGGAAAAUCACAGCUAAAACAACUAAAAUGUUACUCACUGCCUAACUUAAGGUAACCAGAUGUAAUACUAAAACUUGAAGAUUUUUUUCAUAUAUCAAAACUAAAAUAAGAUUUUUCUUAUAAUUUCUCACCUUGCUCAAGUCCAGUAUGUUAUUGAGAAGCCGGAGGAGAGCGGUAGAGCACUUUCUGAUCUGAGUGACUGUUGCGUAUUGCUCAUUUGAAAGACAAUCAUCUGAUAUAAGAAUAUCUAGUAAUCCAAUCACAGCAGCCAUAGGUGUCCUCAACUCAUGGCUAGAAUGCAGAAGAUUUCAAAAAGCUCAUUUCAGUAUUAAGCAUUAAGAAUGUUAAACAAUCGGAAGAACUUGUCUCUUGCAUAUACAGUGAUGACCAACCUCAUAUUUGCCAAAAACUGGCUUUUGUAGUUGCUUGAAGCUUCAGCUCUUCUUCUUGCAUCCAGUUGCCUUAUCAGUUCUGCUCUUAGUUUCAUCUCCUUUGAAACUCCAUUUGUGAGAAUCAAAAUGCAGACACAUCCAAUAAAGAAGAUGCAGACAGAAGCAGAAAUCAGUAUAAUCAAAGUCUUGAAGGCCCUUUCAUCCACUUUUCCCAUAAUGAACUUCCUGGGAAUAAUGACAACACCUAUCUGCAAAAUGCGUAAACAGAGAACUCAACAAGGUGAUCCUAUUGGGCGUCUAAAUCUAGCUUAGACUCUUGAUAGGGAAAACUUACAAUUGGAAGUCUCUUGAGAUUAAGAUAGAAUGAAUCAAUGUAAUAUCGUUGGUUACCAAGCUUUACAUUCUCAGCAUGAACUUCUUGAGGGCGUUUACUUCCAUAAGUUUUCUCUAACCACUGGGCUCCUGCCCUUAUAACCCACUCCUCUGAAUCAAUGGCUUUCAUUAGCUUUGGCCCGUUUGUUGUAUUUUUUAAAAGAGGACCAUUUGUGGAAGUAGCAAGCAAGUAUCCUUCCUGAGAUGUCAAAUAGAUAUGUCCACCAUGGACAUCUACAAGAUCUCUCAUCAACUGCCCUACGCUGUAAAGUGCAGUUGUCACCCCCACAACAUCCACGAUACUCUUGUUUGAUGCAUCAAAGACAGGCAAAGCCGCUGAGAGAAGCGGAGAGUCCAUGUAUUUGCUCACUGUCACAUGCCAAGAAGCUUCACCAUCUGGCACUUGUAAGAUUCCUGCGAUGUUGAUCAGAUCAUCGGGUGGAAUUUUAAGAGGCUUUCCCAAUUUUUCCCCUGUUACUGGAUCAAGCUGUUGCUGGUACCAAAUGGCAGUCAUGUUCCCGUGUAUUGACUGGUUGUUCCACCCGCUUACAUCUUCAGGCCCUAUUCCACUGAUGGAAUAGUUUUUUAGAUCGGAGAAGAUGUAGAAUGUGCUGCUACUUGCUGGAUCUCUGUGAAAAGCUUGGACAAAUCCAUUUCUGUAGUUUAUAGUUAUGGCAUUUAGAGCUUUGGCACUAGCAAACAGAGCCCAUGUCACAUCCUUCAUUGCUUGAUACAUCUGAUAAAUGUUUUUAACUAAAAAGUAAAUAAAGGAUCUCAAACCAAACAUGGGACCACAAAGAAUAGACAGGGAAACAGAAAAGGAAACCUCGACGAGCUCUUCUUGAGUUGUUGGCUUGUCAUAUUUUUUGAUGACAUAUUCAGAUAACUUGACUUGAGCUGUUGUUAGCUCGGAUGUGGUGUUUAAAACGCUCCACAUCCGUAAGACCGGACGCUGAAGAAGCUCGUAUCGAAGGCCAUAUGCUAAUGUUUUAAGUGACUGCUUCGUGUAAAUCCUUGUGAAAUGCCAUGUUAGAACGGUUAAAAGCCCUAUCAGAAUUGCUAACAUCACCUGCACACACACACACAACAUUUCUCAACUCACAAAGCUUCUACCUUUCUCAUCAAAUGGUUCGGUUUUCAAGUUUGAUCAUAAACUAAACAUGCCAACAUCAGAAACUUUGAUCGGAAUUCUCAAGCUAGAUUAGAUGAAAUCAAACAAAAGAUGAUGAAAUCUAACCAUUAUAGCGAGGCGAACAACAAAGACACUGUAGUAAGAAGACAAACAGUGACUACUUGCGUAUUGAAACUCAUCUUGUUCAACAUCUCCACGCAAAAUCAUCAUCUCUCUUGGACUCUCCAAAUUACUUCUCCAAGGGGUAACCCAUUGAGUCAUUUUAUCGAACACCUUCCUGAUCUUCCUCGAAACCAUUGGAGAAUCAGGAAUAUUCUCAAUAUUCAUUGAGAAGCUAUCUCCUCUCAUCUUGUUUCAGAUGAUCCCAAAUCACAAACAAUGACACAUAUUGGUUCUUUCUUUGUUAUUGUUGUUGGUGAACUUUUGGGUGCUUUGCUUAGUGGAAACUAAUGACUAUACUGCUUCUUGUGUCACUCCCCACUUUUUAAUUAAUACCCAAAUUAAAAAAAUCAAAACUUUAGUAGACAAAUCAGAAACCCAUGAAGGAAAAUGUCAAAAGCUUCAAACUUUUUAAUUGGGAAAAAAAUCUCUUCUUCAUCAACAGAGAAGACAAGUUUGGUUAGAGACUGGAGGAGAAGAAGCAAAACGAUGUUCUGAUUUAUAAAGAGAAUAAUAAAUAGAAAGAUGAAAUCUUUAUGCUUUAUUAAAGGGAAAUCAAAUAAGGGAAAAAGCAAGAAGAUUUGGGUAAAGUGAUUGAGAGAGAAUGAUCUUCGAAUUUGGCCAGUGGGAAUGUGUAGAAGCUAAAAUGGCCAAUGGAGAGAGAUAUUUGGCUUUCAGAAAAUAUAGAGGCUGUUUGUUGUACUACGGUUUCGAAGAAGAAUUUUCCAAAGUUUUUUAACUUUUAAUUAAUGGUAAUUGAUUUUAAAGAAGAUGAAAUUUAAAGGACCCAAGUUUUGUCUUGUCUCUAUCUCAGAAAGUUUCAAAUAUUUGUGCUUUGUGGAUUGGUAUUUAUUUAUGGAUUCGUCUUACACUUAUACAAUAACAAAGAAAACAUAUAUAAAUUUUUUGUACGGGUUUAUAAAUAUUAAAGUAACUAAAUAUGUAUAUAACAAUUGAUUGAAUUGUUUAUUAUUAAUGGAAUUUAUAGAGUAAUUAAUCACACAAUAUCUCAACGAUUUUAAAAGAUCCCGAUAUUCAUUGGAUUGUAGCAAAACUGUAAUAUUAAGUGGGUUGAAAAUAUCCACAAAAUGACGAAAAUACAUUUAUCUAUGUCUCCCAUGACAUCUGCUCUCAUCUGUGUGUCUUGUGAAUUUAUAUCACUCUCUUUUAUUUUCUUCGUUUUCAUUGUUAGGCUUUGUUUUGGAUUCAGAGUUAUUUUGUUUUUCAUCGGCCUAGUUUCUCGAGACUUAGUCGGCUUCGUGUAUCAAAAACGUAUCCCAUUUCCACAAUCGUGUUUUAAUCAUAUUAACUAUUUAAGAAGAAAAAAAUGAAGAUAGCGAUUGCUUUUAUUUUUCGUGUCUAUUUUCGUUAAAUAUUCAAAAAAACCAGAAAACAAUUUCGAAAACAAAGAUUAUAUCCAUUUUUACCACGCAUUUAUUUUUUACGUUAAAUAUGAAAAAAUAAUUACCUUAUAUAUAUAUAUAUAUAUAUUCAUAUGUCACUUUUUAUGUAUAUAAACCAAUAUUAUAAUAUUAAUCAAAAUAAAAUAUUUGGUUAGUAUGGAACUCCAUUCUGUGCAUUAAUUGUUUAAACUGUACACCUGACUUUUCGGCUAUAUUAAAGGUCUCGAUGUUUCUCAGCUAAGUCAAUUUUCUACCGAUAUUCCAAAGUCAUUUUGGUCAAUCAUAUUUGUUUGUCUUACUUACUUCACAAACAAUUUUUGAAGUUUGGUAAAUACUUCUCUAUUAUUUAGUAUAUAAUUAACUCAAUUUUAAUUACAUAAUCAAAAAUAUACAUAUGAAAAUUAGAUAACAAAAUAAUAAUUAAUUUUUGGUAAAGGUAAUUAUAAAUAUUCAAAAUUUUAAAUUUAUAAUUGAUCAAAAAUCUAAAAAUAUUAUUUUUAUAGAAAAUAUAUUAUGUUUUCAAUAAAAAUGAUAAGUGUGAGAUCUAAUAAAUUAUUAUCUCCUUAUAGUGUAAUAAUGUUGUGUUGUAAGUGCUAAUAAUUUUUUUUAUAAAAUUAACUUUUAUCAAAUAUUAUAUAGAAUUUAAUGCACUGUUACUGUUGGAUACAUGUAGUUUACAAUUACAAGUUACAACUCAAAUGACCAACACAAUUCACACACAUUAGUACAAUAGCCAACUUUUAAUUAGAAGAGCAUUAAAAACAUAUACCGUUUUGAUAUUACAAACAUAUGACCAUUUCCUUUCCUUGUAUAUACUACGAACUAAACAAGCUAAACAAAUCAGUUUUUGAAAUUAAAAAGAGAGAGCAAAAAGAACUUAAUCGGCCCUUAAGCAAUACUCCCUCUGUUUCAAUUUAUUUGUAUUUUAAGGUUUUUGCACAGAUUAAGAAAUCACAAAAAUCUCAUUUAAUUUACAUUUUUAACAUAAAAAUAUUCUUAACUACAACUAAUUCAACCAAUAAAAACAUGCUGUAAAAUAUAAUUGGUCAAAAACUAUUAAAUACAUUUAAUUUUUUGUAUAGAAAACUGAAAAUAACAAUUAUUUUGCAAAAAAAAAAAAUUGGUUAAACUACAAAUAAAUUGAAAGAGAAGAGUAUUUUUGUUUGCUCAACAUCUCAACAUGGAUUUUGAAAAGCUUAGUAUGUCUUUAACUUUUUUCAGUAGUCUAUUUAAGGUUAUUGGUUAAUGAAAAAAUUGUCACUGAUUAACGGGAAAAAACGGUUGAACUGUCACUGAUGGGAAGGAAAAAAUUUGCUUUCAUCAUAUCAAUGGUGAUAAUUAAUUUUGACCAAACUUUAGUAAGAAUCUUUUGGAGCUUCAAGAUCAAGUAACAAAUCUAUAAAGCAUAGUCGGUGAUAUUAACGACCCGUGAAUUUGGUAAAAUAAAGUUACAAAUUUAUUCAUAGCUCUCUUUAAUAAGUCAAAUAUAUUUAAGGUAGAUUAAAAAAUAAAUAGAUAUUUAAGGUUCUUUUUUGGUUUGAAGGUAUCUUCCUUUGAGAUAUUUGAUUUUUCUUUAUGUGUUGUAUGAAUAUUAUCCGGUUGAUCAAAAUUGGCUAACUCAACUAAGUCAAUUACCAUUCCUCUCAAUAUCUUAAAUUCGAUUCUGCAAGGUAUUGAAAAGGAUUGCUCUUCAAUCCAGUGGAAUACAUAUAUUCGUUAAAAAAAAAAAAAAAGGUUGAUAGACAAGAUUGUAGUGUGGCUAAAUAUAUGAAUAUAUCUCAUCAUUUGAAGUAAUUAAUAUAUUUCAAAUUUUAAUUCAUAGAGAUUCAAACAUUCAAGUAUAAAUCGUAAUUAAAUACAUAUACUCAACUCAUCUAGAUGAUAAAACAUGUAUAGUUUAAUUCUUAGAUAUAAUCUGCUAAUAUAAUUUUUCGGUUUGUUUGUGUUUAAAGCAAGAUUCAAAUCUAGCUUUCGCAUCAAAUCAAUAACAAAUGAGAUCACAAUCCAAAGAAAAAAGAUUUGAAAAUCUAAACAAAAUCUCAAAAGGAUCUAUUUGGAAGACUUAAGGUGAAUGGUAAUGAUGUGUCUUAAAAAAGAAAUGUGCAUGCAUGGUUACUGGUUAGUGAAACUUGUAAGCCUUUUGAAUCUUCAAAGUCUCACAAACAUUCCACUUAAUUAUAUGCAUAUGGAUAUGCAUAGAUCAUAAUCUUAUAUUAUCUUUUUAAUUAACAUUGUGUGCUCUUUGGUGGUGGCUCAUUUUGGUUGUGGAAACAAAAGCCAAGUUGAUAAUAAUAACUAACAUGUAUGGGAUAUACAGCUUUCAAAUUCUAAUACGCAUAUAAAUUUAGGUAUUAUAUUUAAUGCAUGGUUGAGGUGCUAAACCAUCAAAUAGGAUUAAAUUACGAAUGAUAAAGAUCUUUGCCACAUAAUAAGAUUUGUUAGCCAUAAACAGUAAAUGGAAAUACGAUUUACUAAAAUAUACUAUGAUAAUAGCUGAUUUAUCAGAUGAAUAGUUUAGUGGAAACACUUGAGCUGAACAACAUACAUGUUUAAUAUCACAAGACAAAGAAGAAAAUGAAAAGCUAAUGUUUUUCUAAAACAUAAAAAAAUUUAUAAUUUUUUUUUUUUGUGUGUGGGGAAACAUACUGGUUUAAUCUAAUUUCUGAAUUAGUUCUGAAUUUGACGAUGCUUUAACCAAACCAUACAUGUUAAAUAGAAAAGAAAAUUCAACUUCCUUUAAACUAAUUAAACCGUUAAUCAUAAAUCACAAUAAACAAAAAUUAUUCUAGUACGUAAUUAUUCCAUUAUUAUGACAUAUAUUUUUAAAAUAUCCCCAAAAUAUUUAAGAAAUGUUGAUAGAUCAUUGGUAAAACAAACUUUAAGCUUAAGAAUAACUCAUGAAAAGUAUGAUAUCUUUGCUAAAUAAAGUUUAGACGCUGGGUCAAUUUCUUUCUAAUUAUGUAUAGUAAAAUAAUCUUACACAAUCAGUGUGAAGGAGGCAGUUAUUGAAAAUAUAAAAUAGCAAAGAAAUGAUAAACAUCCUCGAUUAAGACUUGUUUAAAAAUUUCCCACGAGAGAAUCGGACAAGAAAUUUAAAGUGAAGAUGCGGUAAGCAUAUAUAUAUAUAUUAUCUCAUAUAAAUGGAUUUUAAGAUUUAUAUUUAUAACAUAUAUAAAAAAAAAUAAGAAGAGGAUAAGAUUAAAUGGUGCAAAGCACUUAGUAACCAUUGGUGGUUUCGACAAUUAUAGGGCAUUUGAUUCGAUCUCCUAUCAGUCUUCCAUUACCCUUUUGGUUCUAUAGAUCUUUUUUGUAAUAUUUAUGUGGACCUAUGCGUAAGCUUAUAUAAAUGAGUGAUUAUUAUUUUAUAAUUUUCUUAAGUUUCUAACAAAUUCUAGGAAUAAUAGACGUUGGUUCUGUUGAAUCAGAUACCAGAUACGAAUCAAAUGGAUUGAAGAUUUCUGAAUAUGUAAUGUUUUUGCAUUUAAAAUAAUUUGACGUUUUAGAUUUUGUUAUUUCCAUUUUUUGACAGUUUUAUUUUUAUAUCAAAUUAUUAAUGGUCAAGUUAGGUACUAAUCGACUAUAACUCAUCAUUGAUAAUCUAAAACAUCUAAUUAACAACAUUUUGGUCAUUCUCAUAAAAAAAAAAAAAAAACGACCUAUCAUCAUCUAUGUAUAAGACCAAUCACUAUUUUGUACUCCUUCGGUCCCAAAUUAUAGGAUGUUUUAGCAUUUUAUCUUUGUUCUAUUUUAUAAGAUUUUUUCCAGAUUUUUAUGCAUAAUUUAUGUUUAUUUAGUAUGUUAUGACCAUUUAAAUUCUGCAGUCUUUUUUUCUAUUGGCUAAAUUUCUAUAAAAAUAAACAUUAAUUAUUUCUUAAUCUUUGUAUUUUUACACAAAACAUCUUAUAAAAUGGGAUAGAGGGAGUAUUUUCUUAGUUUCAUAAUAGAUUCUAGAAACAGACCAGGGUCAACUACUUGGGUUUAUUGAAUCAGAUACGAAUGUUUAAAAGAUUUUCUGAAUAUAGAAUAGUUUCAAUUUUAUUUUUAAAUAUUUGACGCUUUAGAAUUAUUCCUUAUUUCCAUUUUUGGACAGUUGUAUAUCAAAAUUUAUCAAAUUAUCAAUGUUCAAAUAAAAUGCUAGGUACUAAUCGACCGUACUCCAGCAUCUAUAGAAACUAAAACCUCUAACUAACAGUAAGCGAUUUUAUGGACUAGUUAAUAAAUGGAAUCUAUAAAAGCAAAAAAAAAUUAUUAUUUAUAACCAAAAGAAAUCUAAAAUUGGUAAAAAAUAAAACUCAAUAAAUUCUUUUUUUUUUGAAGUGUUUCCAAAGAAAACCUCCAAAUUCAAUUACCGAUUUCUUAUAGUAGAUAACUAGAUAUAUAUUUUGGUAUAUAUAUCAACACUAGAAUUUAACCCGCGGUACACCGAGAGGCUAUAUUUUUUUAAAAAAUAUAAUGUUAGUUCUAUAAAGAUUAACUGAAGAUAUAUCAUAUUAAUUUGUAUUUUUAAAUGUAGAUAUCUAUCUAUGUAUUAUUUAGUGUAUGAUUACUAUUGUUUAGGUUUCAAUUUUUGAAGUAUAGAUACAAAAACAUACUUUUUUUUUAAGUAACGAUGUAUGGUGGAUUUUAAAAUUUUGAAUAUUUUACUCCGCAAUAUACCGUGGGUCGACUUUUUUAUAACUAAAAAUUUUAAAUUUGAAGUUGUAUUUGUUUUGUUAAUAUUGUUUCUUUUGUUUUGUGUUUAAGAUUGUAUAAUUGUAUUUUGAUUGUUAAUUUUAUGAUUUCAUCCAUGAUAUACCGUUAUUUAUUAAUAUCGACCCAAACCCGUCAUUCCAUAUAAACCCGUCUACAUUAUCCCGUUAGCUAAAUUAUUAGUGUCAUAAAAUCCAAAAAAAAAAAAUUAUUAUUGUUAUAAAAUCCAAUAAAUAGGAUCUCACCCGUGGUAUACCGUUCUUUGAAUGAUUUUAAAUUUAUACUACUAAUAUAUAUUUUAAAUUUAUCAUAUAAAAUAUAUGAUUUCAAGUUUUUGUGUUUUUAUUUUAUUUAAAUAAAGCAACGGCUUAAAUGAUGAUAAAUAUAGUUCUUUUUCUUGUAUGUGUAUAUGAUUUUUCUAUGUGAAUAUUUUGAUUAUUAUAAAUUAGUAUUUGUAUUGCUAUGCAAAAUGUUAAUAUAAUUAUUUGCUAUAAAUUUUUUUGAAGAUAUAUGGAAAAAUUGUGUUGAGAUUUUUGGAAACAAAUUAGGAAAGAUAUUGUUUGGUUAAUAUCUUUUAUUUAAAUUUUGUAAAAGUAAAUAAUAAAUGUCAAUGGCAUGGACUCGUAAAUAAGAUGGAACUCUAGGAUUUAUUUGCUAAAAAUACUCAAAAGAAAUGUAUAUAUAGAUGCUCUCGCCUCUCAGAAAAGAAUAAUAAAAAUAAAAUCGUUUCUUGCUAAAAAAGAAACAUUGAAAGCCCACGAUUGGCCCAGUGGGUUUCUAUGUGCUUUCAAAAGCCCACGAAAGCACCUCCAUGGAAGAAAUUGGCAAGGGGGGAGGGGAGUUUUUGUUUCGAAGCUUAAGCUUGAUCCUGAUCCUAACUCAAUAGUUCAACAAUGACGAUAAUGUCAGAUCUUCCACGGGAUUUGUUAGCGGAGAUUCUCAGUAAGGUUCCGUUGACAUCUCUAAGAGCAGUGCGGUUCACUUGCAAAAAAUGGAACGAUUUAUCCAAAGAUCGGAGCUUUCACAAGAAGCAAAUCAUCGAAGCAAAGAAGAAGCAAUUGAAAGAGUUUGAGGUGAUCAUGAUGAGGAAUUUUAGGGUUUAUCUGACGAGUGUCGAUAUCCACAGCGAUGUUGAUCCAUCUUUUACGCCUAAAGGUACACUUAUUAGCUUAAACGAUGAUGCAAAUCAUCAUCAAGUCGAUAAUGUAUCUAAGGUCUUUCACUGCGAUGGCUUACUCUUAUGCAUCACCAAAGACCUUAACUUUAGGCUUGUGGUUUGGAAUCCUUAUUUUGGGCAAAUAAGAUGGAUCAAACCCAGAAAUUCUUAUCACAUUUUGGAUAGUUACGCUUUUGGGUACGACGAGAAUAAGAACCACAAAAUCUUGAGAUUUAAGGAUAAUUAUUACACUUUUAGUGCACAGGAUCAGAUUUGUGAGUUUGAAGUCUAUAGUUUUGAGUCUAAUUCAUGGAAGGUUGUUCUUGAUGUGAGUCCUGCCUGCGAUAUAGAGGCUUAUAACCGUGGAUUGUCUCUUAAGGGGAAUACUUACUGGUAUGCUAAAGAUAAGUAUGACAGAGGAGGAGAGGAUAUUGAUUUCUUGAUAUGUUUUGAUUUCACAUCAGAGAGAUUUGGACCGCGUCUGCCUCUGCCUUUUAACUCUUCUCCUACUUGGGAAGAUAUUGUUACUCUCUCUAGUGUUGGAGAAGAUCAGCUUGCGGUGUUGUUUCAGAGCAAUCGUACAAAGUGGAUGGAGAUUUGGAUUACGAGCAAGAUUGAGCCUACAGAGGUUUCAUGGAACAAGUUGUUCUUAGCGGUUGAUAUGAGAGCACUCACUCGUUUUGAGUUCCUGGCCCAUGCUGGGAGUUUCUUCAUUGACCAGAAGAAGAAUGUUGUUGUGGUUUUUGAUAGAGAUAUGGAUGCCCCUACCGAUCGUGGCAUGGCUUACAUUAUUGGGAAGAAUGGAUACUUCAGAAAAGUGGAUCUUGGGGAAGAUGCAGACUCGAGUUGUUACCCACUUGUCUGUUCUUAUGUUCCAAGCUCAGUGCAAAUCAGGCAGCUAACCUGAUUAUUAUUAUUAACUACUGUUUUCUUUUUCUGGCAUCUUCGAUUGUAUAAAUCUGACCAUUGUUAUCACUUAUCUGGAAUCUCAGAGACAUGGCCUCUACUACAUGUAAACUCUGUUGUGGCUCUUCCAGACAUUUCUUUGAAAUAGUCGAAUGCAUCUUGAACUUUAUCUUUGGGAGAUUUUUUUACCAUUGCUAGUUAGCUGAAAAGAGUGAGUAUCAUGCAUGAUGCAAUCACUCACUCACUUAUUUCAAGGAAUCUUGAUUUGGCCAACUUACAAAUACAGCACAUAUUCCGUAUCAACUCAGAGACAUUACAUGAUUCUCAUAGAGAAACAUAAACACUUCACAACAACUACUAAUCCACACCUCUUUUCAGUUUUACUUCUGUAUCAGAAGACAACAAGACGAUACAAACAAACAGGACAAAUGAGUCUGUUUUGCUUCAUCAGGAAAGCCUUCCUACGCUUUCUUUUGUGAAGCUGCAGAUCUAAUGGCAGUCUUUGCAAGCGUCGAAGGCUUGAGUACACUCUUAGGGUUAAUAGCCUUUCUGAUUUUGAAAGCAACCCAGGCUGUGCCAAUCGCAUAUCCUGCUGCAUCGAGCCCUUCGUUUGUUGCCUCAGCCGCUUUACCACCAUACCUACAUUCAUCAAAACCAAAAUUUACAUUCUUCUCUUAAACACUUCCAUACCCGAAUAACCAAGAGUUUCAAAUCCCAGAUAUUCGAUUUACUUACUUGUGAUCAACAAGUUCAGUUGUGACAGUGGAAGAGGUUGACAUUACAUUCCUCCCAGCUACUUCAACAGCAUCACAGACCUUAUCUAUCAAAACAGGAAUCAACAGUUUCAAUGAUUAUGAAAUCUAAAGAUAGCUGCAUAAAGUCAAGUUAAGUAUAUUAUAUGAUAUAAGAUUAGUGUACUUACUGAAUCCGUCAAGAGAUGCAAGGAUGACUUCUCCAGGAAGAAGACUAAAGAAUUUCUUUCCUACUUUGGUGUUUGCCACUGAACUUGUGAAGAAUCCAGAAACUUUAAGGACUCCAGACAGUAUGCUGUUUGCUACACUCUCUGUCAUUUUGGUCAUCCUCUUCACUCUGAAUAGGCAAAAACAUAACGAGACACCAAUACACAUAACUAUGAGUCGCAAUAAUGACAUAUAACAACACCAUAUGCAGCAUUCAGCAUUGUCAUGUUUGGAACAUCUAAAGACGACAUAUUAAAAACUGUCUUCUCAGCUUUCAAGUUACACUCUCCAUGACACACCAUAAAAAAAUCAAGAUCAGCAAUUAAAACUCAUGUCUAGAGAUUUUCCUAAGAUAGAAAACACAUUCCACCUAUUUAGCACAAACCCUUUUCCAGAAACUAACUAGAAGAAACAUCACAAACCUCACAAAGCAAAACCAAAACAUAUGAAACACUUUAAUUUGAAUCAGGCAAAAGUGACUAUAAUCAAAACCACAAUUCAAUUUACAAGAAACCAUUCAUACCUCCUGAUUCUUUUCAAGGUGUCAGGGUGAACUUCACUCUCCUUCUCAGCCUUUGACAAUCUCCUUUUCAUGAAACCAUUUCCCCAAAUGAGCCUAUCCAUAGUCACAUCUCCACACCAAAGAAUCCCUUUUAUCAAAUGUCCUGAACCAGUUGCAAUCAGCUUCGCCGCCUUCCCGCUAUAAUCCUCCACAUUCGGAGCUAAAGUCGUCCAAUAAGCCGAACAUUGUCUCUCCACAAUCUCUUUCCUCUCUCCAGUAAGCUCCACCGGCGACGUCUCUCUCGCCACCGUCACAUCCAAAACCUUUUCCCCUGCUUCCUUCGCUUCCUCCGACACUUCCUGCACCGUGAAACAACUAUAAUCCUCCAAGAUCUUCUCAAGCUCCACCAACAGAUGCUCUUGACCUUUAGAAGCAAUUGUAAGUCCGUAGUUCAACAUCUCGUUAGUGUUUUUCGCUCCGUCUUCCUCGUCGCUUGAAUCAUGUGCGAUUUCUUUGGUAGGACGAAGCGUGAAGAAGUAAUGAGACUCAUCGACUUUGACGGAGUUCUCAUCCUUAGUCAACGGCCAUUGAAUCUCAUCUCCAACACGAGCGAGAACAGCGACAACAUUCUCUCCUUGAACAAUACGGAUGAUCGAAAGAUCGCCGCAAGCGAGCUCGACGCUGUAAGAUGUGUCGAUUAAGUGAAGAAUCGCGCCGGAGAUUUUCAAAAUUACUUCCUCCGUCGCUGCAGGAGGAGCCGCAACGGGAACGGAACUCGUCUCCGGUUGCUCAGGGAAGAGAUUACGAGCGAGAUCAUUCAUAUCGAGAGAAGGAUAGAGAUUAUUAGUAGAUGAUGAAGAGCUAGGGUUUAUAGGAGCUUCGGGAUUCGAUGUGUCAACAGUAGGGUAGAGAGAUGAAGUUUGCUUGUCGCCGGAGGGUUCCAUUGUCGCCGGAGAUUUCAAAUCGGAGGAAAAUGAUUGAAGAAUGAAGAAGACUUGGUUUGGUGCUGAAUUGAUUAAAGAUAUUUAUUUGAAGAGGAAGGAAAGUGACCAAGUUUAUAAGUAUCUCUGUAUCUGUCAGUGUCAGAUUACGUGGAGGUUGCGCGUAAGUAACGCGUGUAAACCGGUUCGGUUUAUUACUUAACCUUGUCGACAUCUUUUCCGCGCGGUUACACGGUUCAUUUUUCUCAUGUCGGUCGGUCUAUUUGUCUCGGAUAUUGCAUCAAACUCAUAAAAAGAGUGUACUAAUAAUAAAUAAUUUAAUAUGCAGUUGCUCUAAAUUAUUACAAUGUUAUUAUAUUUAUUUAAAUGUAACAAUAAAAGGAUUGAAGAAAAAAAAAUUCUUAGUAAAGAGGAAGUCAAGUUUUUCUAAGUUUAAUCGUGUUGUUUAAUUAAAUAACAGGCUAUUUUGACGACAAAAAUAGAAUAAUAAUAUUUGAUAAAAUAAUUAUGGCUAUAAUUUACUCUAAAUAACAUGGUGUCGAAAACAUCUAAAAAUUCACUUUCCUAUCGUUUUUUUAAUAAUCGGUUGUAUUUGUGGAUAUAUAUUUUUAUUUGUUUAGUAAUGAAUAUUGAUGUACUCUUACUAUAUCAAUUUUUGUACAAAAUUUCAAAUAAAUAAAUGAAUUAGAUGUUAAUAAAAACAUGGUAUUUUGUCCAAAUUUAUUACAUAUGUAAAAUGACAUACUUUGAACUAUUAACACGUCAUUGCUUGACUUAAAACUUAAAUUAUCGUGAAUAUUAUUAUAUAAUUAACUAUUUUACAUUUAGUUAACAAAAUAAAUUUUUUUUUUCGAUCCUAACAAUAUAACGACUAUCCAUGAUUGAAUUUUUAAAAUUUUGCUAUCGAUUGCAAGGAUCUGGUUAGCUCUGUCUCCAGAGCGCAAACUUGGCCCUCUUUCAUAAAUUAUGUUGAAAGAAUUCUUAGGACUCUCAGGUUUAUUUUGGAUUGGCGUCUUGAGUAUAAAGAAUAGAAGACAAACAUAAGUGUUUACUUUAUUGCUCGCAGCAUAACAAUGGAGGAUCGUAUAAAGAUGAGAGUUGUGUUACUUAGUGUAAUACCAUUUUGUCUUUGUUGGUGAUUGCUCUUGAUCCUUGUUAAAGGAACAUAACUUUACUUUUCUUAAUGGUUAAUGAAAUUCACAUAUGAAAAAAAAAAAUCUCAUUAAGAAACUUAGAUUGGUUCAAGGCAAAAACAUUAACAGAGACCCAUAUCCAGGCCCAAAAUAUUUUUCUGAAAUCCACUAGCCAAAAUUAUUUACAAAUUGGCCCAAAACUAAUUUAUUUUUAUAACAAUUGGCCCAAAUUUUCUAAAGCAUCUUAAAUAACCUGAUUCUUUUUUUUUAAGCUUUGGCCCAAAACAAUUCAGGGCCGGCCCUGCCCAUAUAGUCUUUUAUUCACGUUUCAAAAAAACACACACACAGAACAGGGGAUUUGAAAUAUGUUUCCAACUUGGGUAAUUUUCUUGACCUUGUGGGUUAUAGAACUAGCAAGGAACAUUAAAGAGUUUCUCUGAUAACAUGUCGUUUCUCAAAUUCUUCAAACAGUUCUGUAUUAAUAGCUCUCAAAUUCCAGAAAUCACCAGACAAUAUCCAACUAACAAUAAAGACUUAGACUCCACUGAUUCUAAUUCUCUAAAAGGUUUUGUAAGUUUGGUUGAUAGACAAAUCCGUUACAGAUUUAAAUUGCCACGUUAAAUUGUUGUUUUGGUUUAGAGACAAGUCUUUGUAUUUAAACUAUGUUAUGGGCUUCUCCUUCUCCACCGAAGAACACGCAAAGAGAAACAAUAUGAGUAAUCAUCAAACUGUGAGAUACUUUUUCUCUUAUAUCUCAUUAUCUUAAUUAUAUUCAAAUUUAUCAGAUAGGCUUUGUAAUCAUCUUUCAUGAUGACUCCAACAAAGCAGGUGUUGAAGCAACUAGAGCCAUGGUGUGAACUUAAAGACAAAGUGGUUCUUGUGACAGGAGCUUCCUCUGGUAUAGGAAGAGAGGUAUGUCUUGAUCUAGCCAAAGCUGGCUGUAAGAUUAUCGCAGAAGCUCGUCGUGUCGAUCGUCUCAAAUCUCUCUGCUCUGAAAUAAAUAGCUUCGAAUAUUCAGCCGGACUUCAAGCUGCAGCUCUUGAGCUAGACGUUUCAUCAGACGCACCCACCAUUCAAAAAGCGGUUAAGGAAGCUUGGUAAAUCUUUGGAAAGAUCGAUGUGUUGAUCAACAAUGCGGGAUUUAGAGGCAAUGUCAAGUCGAGUUUGUAUUUGUCCGAAGACAGAGUGGGACAAAGUCAUCAAGACCAACUUAACGGGAACUUGGUUAGUCUCCAAAUAUGUAUGCAUUUUAAUGCGCGACGCUAAACGUGGUGGCUCGGUGAUAAGCAUAUUAUCAGUCUCUGGCCUCCACCGCGGUCAGGUGCCUGGUGGAGUCGCGUAUGCUUGUUCUAAAGGCGGUGUUGACACCAUGACAAGGAUGAUGGCUGUUGGGUUAGGUGUUUACAAGAUCAGAGUGAAUUCGAUCGCACCGGGGCUUUUAAAGUCAGAGAUCACACAAGGUCUUAUGCAAAAAGAGUGGCUCAAGAACGUUAAUGAACGGAUAGUCCCAUUAAAGGUACAACAGGCAGUGGAUCCGGGGCUUACAUCUCUCGUUCGCUACCUCAUUCACGACUCGUCUCAAUAUAUCUCCGGGAAUACAUACAUUGUCGAUUCCGGAUCUUCAUUACCCGGCGUGCCUAUUUUUUCAUCUCUCUAAACCUUGAACCCCAAAUCUUGUGUUUUUGCAAUAUAAUUAGUGAAUACAUUUACACAUUCUCUACGUAGAUUUAAAGUAAAAAAAUACAUUAAGAUGCUUGUAUUUGAAGAAUCUGAAUCAAAGCUCAUCAUACUUGAGUUCCUUGUGUUCCACUUUAACUGGAAAUCUCUUGUCGACCCAAGCAAUGUAACCACCGUCCAUGUUUUUAACAUUCUUGAAGCCCUAUCACAUUAUCAAACAAUCCCAUUAAAUCUCAUUAAUAAACUCAGAUAGAUUCAAAGAAGAAACAAAUAUAGAGACCCAGAUCCUCUGUUUCUGUUCACGUUACAAGAAAAAAAAAGAAAAGAUUUAUAAAUCUUGAAAGUCUUUGUUACUUACAGAAGAAACAAGAACUUUGGUAGCAUAUAAUGAUCUAACUCCCGAUUUACAUCCCUACAAAACAAGAUCAAAACAACAGAUUCUAGAUUCAUAUCCAGUGACUUCAAAAUAUACUUCCACUUACACAUGAUUAGGACAAGACUCUGUUAUUACCACGACGAGAUGAUUGGUUUGGUUACAGAGAGAUGAAACAUGUUUCAAGAAAUUAGGGUUAAUCUCUUGCCCCUGUGGAGAAUAUAACCAGUAAGGAACAUUGAAGACUUUCUCUGAAUCAACAUGGCCUUCCUCGAAUUCUUCAACAGUUCUGUGUUUAACAGUUCUCAAACUUCAGAAAUCAAAGACACAAACAACAAUAAAGACAUGACUGAAUCUGAAAGGUUUUAAGAUAUACCUGACAUCAAGAAACGUGUAGCCAGAAUCAAGAAGUUUCUGGGCUUGGCUUACAUCGAUAGUAAUAACUUUUGGUUCUGAGUUUGAUGAAGUCGUGCGAGGAAGAUCAAUAGAAACAAUGAUAAGAAGAAGAAGAAGAAAGGAUUUUAUAACGUGUAAAGAAUCCAUUUUGUUGCUGAAUUAAUUUUUCUAGAGUCUCUGAACAAAGAAUCAGUUUAAAUUGUGUAUAUUAAUAGUCCAAAUAUAUUCUUUUUAAAUCCGGUGCUAUCCGCCGUUGGAUUCGAGCACUCUGUUUUCUUUUUGGCGGCAGAGGUAUUGACCAAAAACACUAGUUUAAUAUACUGAUUCACGUUGACAAAUAAAAGAAAAAAAUCAUUUAAAAUCAAUAUAUACAUGCUUUAUGCAUAAAAGGAAAAAUUAAACUAUUUAGUAUUAUUGUUGUGUAACUAUUUAACUAUUACUAAAUAAUUUAACUAUUUAUAUGUUGUAAAUAUAAAGUCAAUAUUUCAAAUAAUGAUAUAUAUAAAUUCUAUAAUUUAAUGAAAACUAGAAUAAUGUAUAUAUUACUCGAAUAGUGUAACUAUAUGUUGUAAAUAUAUAGUCAAUAUUUCAAAUAAUGAUAAAGAUAAAUUCUGUAAUUUAGUGAAAACUCUUUCACGUUUCGAUUCGCAACAAAAUCAAUCACAUAAAUAAAAUAAAAUUUUCCUAAUCAAAAAAUGAAAAAACUAGAAUGAACAAAAAAAAAGAAAUAGUCGGUGCCGUAUUUUAUCACUAAAGUCCACUACCCACCCAAGAAACCGCAACAGCCAAAACGCCCAAUGAUAACGCAACUGAGAUUCUUCGCGACGCGUCGGAAACGCUAAGCGCAUCCGGUUGCAGACGCGGAGGAGAUGCACUCUUCAAGUCUUCACUGAUUUAAAAACAGAACAAACAAAAAAAAGUAAAACCGUUACAAAAUCCUAAGUUAAUUUUUGUUAUCAUAGAAAAAAAUAAAAAAUUGUUAAAAUUUGAAUAGAAACCAAAUACUAAUAUUCGGUUUGGUUUUAAACAGUUUUGAUUUUGAUAGGGUAAAAUAAUCCUAGCUAGGAAACUCUUUACUUUUCUAUUAAGAAUCGGAAACAAGCCUUUUAAAAUUACCAAAAACAUUUUUUUUGUCAAAACCAAAAACACUAAAAUUAACAUUUUUCGAAUAUUAAUAUCCUUAUUCGUAAAUUUAAUAACAAAAAUAUUACCUUGAGGAAGGAGAAGGACAGAAAGUGAUGACGUAAUCAGCACCGGAGCAAGUAAAAGUGCUUGUACCGUCGUCGUAAGCGUAACUAUAAGCCGUCGGACAAGCUUUCUUGAAGAAACCAGAGUACUCACUCGGCUUACACGUGUCCGGCGUUCCAAACGCGCCACUACAACAAAACUCCGGCGUUCCAAACGCCUCGCAAGCGCUCUUGCACGCUACAGCAGCCGUUCCCGCUUCAACUGUUACUUUCAGCUGUUCCGGACAUACGCCGUUAAGAUCCACCGCGCAACCCGUUGCGUUACACUUACCGACUCCAAUAGCUCCGCCGUGAGGGACGAUCGUCAUUGGGACGUUGUAGCCAUCGACGAGGCUGACGUCGAAGAAAUCGAGGUUUCCGUCGCCGUUGAGUGUGAACUCGGCUAAUGUAGCUGGAGGGAUUGCUCCUGCUCCGGAGCAUUCGAUUUGGGAUGAGCCACAGUCGCCGGUGACGCAAGUGAAUUUUCCGGUGUUCUCGUUUUGGUUGCAGAGCGUGCGUCCCCAUAUGCGGCCGGACCAAGCGGUGGGUAUGGAGAUGAGUCGUGACUCGGACGAGCUGAGGGAGAAACCGGUGGUUGGUAAUGGAGUGGUGCCGGCGCCGGAGAGAAGUCCAGGCCAGACGGUGUAGUUACACUGGUUAACGAUGGUGAAAGUGGUGGAGGAACCACCAUUGAUGAAAAACAGAAUCGCAAAGAGAAAGCAAGAGACUUUAGCCAAACCCAUUGUUCCCGUGAGAAUUGUGAUGUUGUAUGAUCAAUGAGAAGUUGGAGAUUAUGUUUAUAUAAGAGAAUUAGGGAUUAGGGAUUUGUGUAAUGGAAAGUUUCAUAAAAUCAACUUUUCCUAUACGAGUUUUGCCAAUGCAGAAUCAAAUACAUGUUCAUUGAUUCAUUUCCUUUUCUUUUUUUGGUAACUCAUUGAUUCAUGGAAAUUACGAAUUCAGUUAUUUUAUUUAUUUUCCUUUUUCAAAAUUUUACAUUUUAUAUUGUGAUGCUAUUUGUCGAGGAUCUUCCUAAAUUCAAAACUAGAAAAGGUUUAGAGGAGGAAAAGUUCUCUUUUGUUUGUUUAAGGAAAAAGUUCAAAAAAAUUUCAAGACUUUGAUGUAGGAAAGAGACAUGUAUUGAGUAGGUUAGAUGUAUGGUAAUUAGUGGGAUUACGUAUUAUUAUUAUUAGAGGAAAUAGAGGAGGUGUUGGCCUGUUGGGGGUUGGGUCAACAACAUUGUGACUUGGGAUAAGAUAAACAUGGUGGGAUACUAAUGUUUAAAUCCGAAAGAUUCAGUAGGAUUGUGCUAAUCACAAGUGUAAUUAGGUUAAAACUAACGGGAUUAACUUAAAUUUUUCUUUUUAAAACAUCAGGAUAGUAGUAGAGAAAGAGAAACCACGAACCGGUAUAAGAACUACAAGAUCACACCAUGUCUCUCCUCUGUUCAGGAGAUUCUCCUAAAACAAGAUCUAAGGAAACUGAAAUAUUAAAAGAGUCUUCUUAAGCUACUAUCUCUGUUUAAUCAAGAGCAAGAAAAUCAGCAAUGCAGAUUAUAUUAUGGAAACGACAAGUUAGCAAAAAGGACUCUCAAUCUUGGUAUAAAACAGAAGUGACCAUAUAAUGAAUUUUCAAGUCAUACAAGCACACUCAUUGUAAGGAAAAACAAGAAACUGCAACGAAGGAAAUCACACAUAUCAUUCAAGUCUCAAACUUAUGGCAUCAACAUCAACAAAAGCAGUGAACAGGUUUGCAAAAACCAGUCAAAAGAGUAAUAUAGAGAUCAAAAUCUCCCAAAACAACCAUUCGUAAACAUCCUAAACGACUUUAGCAAUCACAUUAUAGUCACCAAAACGGAGCUUAGGUAGAUUUAAUAGAGUAUAUGAACAUUACUCUUCUUUGCAUCUUUUUGUUAAGCAACCGAAGAACAUUCCCUAGCAAAGUGACCUUCCUUGCCGCAAUUGAAGCACUUGCCACUGCCACCGCCACCUCCACCUCCACCACCGCUGCUUCCGCUUCCUCUCCGAUCACAGUCACGAGCCAAAUGGCCAGUUUCUCCACAUUCGUAACAAGCACCACCAGAAGGUCUCUUGCUGGUGCAAACUCUCGCAAUGUGGCCAACUCCGCCACAUGUAUAACAUGUGUUUCCACCGCCGCCACCACCUCCAACGUUCCCACCACCAUUUUGCCUACAAUCCCUAGCGAAAUGUCCAACACCACCACACAGGUAGCAUCCAUCACUGCCAGAUCCACGACCACCACCUCCGUAUCUAUUCCCACCAGAACCACCACGACAAUCCUUUGCCAAAUGACCAACCUCUCCGCAACUAUAACACGGACCACCACCUCCUCCUCCACCACUGUUUCCACCGCCGCUUUGCCUACAAUCCCUAGCGAAGUGUCCCACAUCACCACACACGUAACAGGUACCUUCACCGCCAGAUCUACGACCACCACCACCUCCAUAGCUUCUCCCACCACCACCACCGUCACAAUCCUUAGCCAUAUGACCAACCUCACCGCAAUUAAAACAACUACCACCGUUUCCGCGGGAGCUAUUUUCCUUCUUAUUAAGAGAACCGCCGCCAGGAGCAGUAACAUUAACGGCCUUAGUCUUCCCGUCGCUUCCAAGCGUGAUUGAGUAUUCAACCGAUUCACCAACAGUUAAGCUACGGUAACCAUCGGAAACGAUUGAAGAUUGAUGAACAAAAAGCUCUUCGCCUCCAUCAUCGGGAGUAAUGAAACCGUAGCCUUUACCAUCGCCAAACCAAUUGACUUUUCCGAUAUAUCUCGCCGCCGAUUGAUCUUCCAUCGCCACUUGGAUCAGAGAAAAAGGUUGAGAAAAACUCGAAGCAGUUUGUUCGUACAGAGAGAGAAAACAAACCAAAAAAGGGUAAAAUGAAAACCCUAAAUUGCGAGAUCUAUAAUAUCGAUUUUGACCUUUAAUUCGCCACGUCAGCUUCCUUCUUUAUCGCCGGCAGUUACCGCGUGUGCAUUUUGAAUCAGGCCCAUGAUUCAACUUAUGAAUUGGGCUUUUGUUUUUUUGAUCAAAAAUGAAUUAGGCCUAUCUAUUUUAAGGAUUUCAAAAGAAAUAGCUAAGGUUUUGAUUUCAUACGAGCUCUUAAAAAUAAUGCCUUUGAGUUUUUAUCAAAAUAUGAAAAAUUCGUGGGAUGCAAAUGUUCCAGAACAUGGCAUGUGAUGUUGAUACAUAGAUUAUCAUGACGAGAAGAAAAGAAUCUUGUCUGUCGUAUUUGCUUAGCUAUUUUGGUUGCCCUAGUAAAAGCAUUUUAAAUUGACUAAAUAAUUAUCGUGAUAAACGUCAUGAUUCUUUAUUUUCUUAAACUCUGAAAUACAAAUACUGAACAAGAAAAUUGACAAAAACACUAACUCAUUGAAAUAUCGUUAUUUUAUAGUAUAUGUUUCACAAAAUAUUUCAUAAAAAUGAAAUGAUUAACCGAUACAUAACGAAAAUAUAGAACCUAGUUAAUUUUAACGUGGUAGAAUAAACAGCAGUACGUGUUGAUGGGUGAGUGAUAUUAGCACACUAAUUACCGGCUAAUCUCCCAGAUUUAGCAUUUACAAAUUACUAUUAAUCUCUGCGUUUGGGUCAACUCGACACACCGAGUCAACUCGCUACCAGCACUGAUCCGUUUCCCAAUUCCGUCCGCCGUAACUGCCGUAUCCAGCAGUUAACGGCCGGCUCCGUCGAAGAUUCCUCCGAUCAUAAACGGCGCGUUUCUCGGGAUCCGAAAGCGUGCAAUACGCCGCGUGGAUCUUCAUAAAAUCGUCCGCCGACGAGCUAUUCCGACUAUUUCCCGCUACAUCGGGAUGACAGAUCCUAGCUAAUCGUCGGUAAGCCGAUUUGAUCUCUUGACUAGUCGAGCCGACGGGAAUUUCAAGGAUCUCGUAGAGAGACGCGGUCGCUGAAAAUCGCUGCGGGAUUUGGCGUAAUCUCGGUGGAUCAUCGGCGCAGGUGUAGGAAGCGGUGGUUGCAGAAAGAGACGGCGAGAUCCGGGAAACAAUUGACGGUGGUGAAACAAGAGAGAACGGCGGAGAAGAAGAAGAAGAGAGAAAUGGAGUAGCGAAGAAACUUGAAGAAGAAGAGAGCAUUGUGAAACGACGGCGUUUUAUUUUUAUUUUUUGGUUACAGUUCCGAUUUGAUGCAGUGUGAUUUGAGGAAGGAGAUAAGAAAUUAGAGAGGCUUUAUUUUAUAGGGGAAGAAGUGAUUAGUACGUUUAACGUUUAACUAUAAAAGUUUCUCAAAUAUAAUAAUUUAAUAUUUUUUUAAUAAAUAAAUUAUUUAUUUAACUUUUAAUUAAUUAUAAAAAAACUUUAAUCAAUCAAAUAAUACCGAGUAUUGAAUACAGAAUUGUAAGAGAGAAAAUGAGAUAUAGUGUCUCAUUUGAGAAACUCCGAGACACUGUGUCUCAUUUUCUCUCUUACUUUUAAUUAUUUUUAUUUUUUAAAAAAAUUUUAGACACUAUUUAAGAAACCUCUGUCGGAGGUGCUUUAAACUUUUAAAUAAUUGAAGAUUUAGGCAGAUUUAAAAUAUAUUGUCCGGUUAAGCAAAGUCGAACCGGGUUGGGUCGGAUGGUUUUGGAAUCUUGGGAAGCUGAGUCAGACGAAAAGGCUUAUCCACAUUUGGAAAUAAUGGGAGAAGUAAGAUAAGAUUCAACGAACGAACGAACUUUGAGCAUAGUGGCAAUGAAGUUAUAAUUGUCAUCUACCAAACUUUUCUAUUUUCGGUAUCAUAUAACACAAACUUUUCUUGUUUUGGUAAAUCACGAAACUUUGGAUUAAUGUUAUCCAUAAGCGGGAUUAAUGUUACUUAUUAUCUUAAUUCUUAAUUAGAAAAAAUAAAAAAUUACCAAGUUGUAACUAAUUUGAAAUAUCACAAAUUGUUUUAAAUAUUAAUAAGAAAAAUGAAAAGUGAAAGGCAAAAUUUUGAUACGAAAAAGAUGUUUCAUAUUUUGAUACCAAAAGGUAAAUUUAUUUAAAAUUUCAGUAAUAAGUAUUUGAUAUUUAUAGAUUAAUUAAUAAAAAUUUCUGAACAUAUUUAUUUUUUAUUCUGCAUCUUUAUUUUUAACCAUUCUAUGUAUUUUAAAUAUACAUAAAAUGUAAAUAGACACUACAAAAUUAUGAUACAAUAUGUAUCUAUAUAUAUCUCAUACAAAUUGUUCAAGAAAGCGCUAGACGCUAAACGGACGGUGACCUAGCGCCUAGAACGCCUAAUCGGGGCCUAAGUGAUUUUAGGCGGUUUGUGCGUUUACAACAUAAAACAAUAGAAAUAUGAUACUAUAUAUACAAAUCAUAUAAACUACAACUAAAAAGAUAAAAAAAAAAAUCGUAAACAAAAAUUAGACAAAAAUAUUUCUUUAAUUCAUAGCAAACAACAUAAGAACGUUUAUAACAAUAUAUAGGGUCCCCAAUAUAAAUAGAGAUAAAAUUUAUAAAUAUAAAUUUAUGUGGUUAAAAAUUAGACAACUACACUAAAACGAAAUUCAUAGGCAGUGAGGCGGUUAUUUAGGCAUCGUCUGAACAUGUAGCGCCUAGUCGGAGCCUAAACGACCGUCUACACAGCUUUUUAGAACACUGUAAAAUAAUUAUAUGGACUUUCUAAAAUUGGUAUUUGUGUUUUACUAUAGUUUAGGCUUUAGAUGGAUAAAGCAUUCUACUAGCAAGUAGGUAAGAGUAUCAUGGUCCAGUUUUUCGAAAUUUUUCUUUUUGUAUGAGAUUUUAGUUUUUGUUUUGUUUUGCCAAGGCUCUCCCAUAAAUUAAGACGGGCCAAUAGACAUCUAGAUUUUUCAGAUCAAAUUAAUACAAACACCAAAGCAAAACGAAUCUAAUGGAUAAUUUGAUCAUCUCUACAAUGAAUCCGAUUUUUUUUUUAAAAAAUUCUUUAACUUCACCAAUAAUUACAUAAGUCUCAUUUUAUCUGAAAUGACAUGUUCACUCUCUUUUGAUGGUUAGUCAACUUAAACCUAAAUUGAUCAUUCAAACUUCUAAACACCAAAAAAGUAUGUACAAACAUGAUUUAGGCCUUUACAUGUGCCAUCUCUCUAACCCUAAUACCUAAAAAGCACUCUCCGCACACUUUUAAAACAAGCCAAAUGCAAUGCACUUUUCUAUUGAUGAUUAUAAUAUCUUCUUUUCGUUAGUUAAAUGUAUAAUUAUAAUGCACUUUUCUAUUGAUAAUUAUAAUUUCUAAACACCAAAAAUAGUAUAUAAACGUGGAUUGGCCUUUGCGUGUGCCAUCUCCCCUCAUUCCUAACUUCUUAAUAUAUAAAACACGCUAUUUAGUCUUGUCACAACUAUGAUAAAUACAAGCCUAAUGCAAUGCAUUUUACUAUUGAUAGAUAAUAACGAAUUUCUUCAUUUCCAGGUCAUAAUAAUCAAAGUUUUAGAAUUUAAGUCUACAACUACAUCUAGCUGCAAAUGACUAAAAAGCAAACUUUUUUUAUUAAAAACACUAUUUAACUUUUUUCUAUUCAUAACUUACAUAUGAAUAGACCUAUAAAAUUAUAAUGACAUCCAUAUAACAUUCAUAACACAUACCAAUUAACUCGGUCAUGAUUCACAAACGCGUGUUUACACACUCUGAUUGAUCAUCAGGUAUACACAAUACAAAAACUCAUCACUACAUUGUGCUAAUUGACUAUAUCGAUUCUUUUGCCGUUGCCUAUAAAUUUUUUAUGAAAAUAUGUUACAACAACACAUGAAAACACUGCAAUCCCCAGCUCUUUUUUUUUUUUUUCUAUAUAAGGGAUCAAAACUUUUCCAGACCUUUUAGAUUUGAUUCUCUUGUUAGUCCUCUCCAAAAUAUUGUAGAUUUUCUUAGACCUUGCGAGAAAUAAGGUAACCAGGAGGGCUUCUAACAUUUCUUGAUUUGAUACUUGCAGUUCUCAAAAGUCUACGAAACUCUUGGAGACUGAUUUUACCAUCAUUGUCAAUAUCUGCUUCUUCAAGAAGUGGCUCAAUGGACCCUUUCAAGCCAGUAUGCUACAAAAACAAAACAUACCAAAUAGAACUUUUUAGUAAUGUGACACUGAUUGAUUAAGAAGUAUAAAAUAUGCUGACCAUUCGAAGUUCCUCUGCUGUUAUAAAUCCAUCUCCAUCUAUGUCGAAUUUUUCAAAUGCUGCUCUUGAUCUCUGCUGCCACUUUUCGGAAUCGUGUUCCUCUAAUUGAUUUACGUGUAGUGCAGCCGCUACAAACUCCCCAAAGUCCACGAAUCCAUCUGUGUUGCUAUCAAUCUGUAGACAGCAAACACAAUUUAGAGAAUUUAGUUAAAUCAUCUCAUCGUCAUUAGUACUAACUUAAAUUAUAUACAUACCGCUUGAAGAAUCUCGGCAACUCGUGCAUCCUUAAGCUUCCAAGGAUGAUCUUUCGCCAGAGCCUAUAGAAAACAAGAACUGAUGUUAGGUUUAGUAUUUGCUGAUCACGUUAGGUAGUGAUUGAGGUAUAGUUUUGUCUACAUUUUACCUGCCUCAUCUCUUCAAGGCUAAUGGCGCCAUUCUUGUCAACAUCAAUCGCAUCGAACUGGUCUCUAAGAUCAGCCAACUCUUCUUCAUCAAGCGUCGUUGCAAGAGCCUAGACCCGGAAAAAACAACUCAGGUAAUAACAACAAAAAGAAAAAAACACAUAAGAACCUCAAAUGAAACACAGAUCUCUCUUCUUGAUUACCCUUAGAGCGAAUUGCUUGAGGCGGCUAAAUUUCACAAACUGACGCAUGUUAUUAAGGACAGAUAUGUCUAUAGGAAUCUCAGAUGCAUCUCCUCCUUCUCUAACCCAUGGAUGUGCUGCAACCAAGAAAAAAUCCACAAUCCUUAAAGAAAGAUCAGAAGAGAUAAGAACAAAAUGAUGCAAAGUGGCGUCAAAAUGCUUACAUAGUGCUUGCGCAGCAGUUAAUCGCGCUCUCGGAUCUUUUACUAACAACUUCUUAACAAAAUCUUUGGCGCUGUUGCUAAUGGUUGGCCACGGUUUUCUUCUGAAAUCAGGUUUGUUCUUCAAGACCUAUGUUUAUAAACACAUCUUCGUGAUUAGAGAUUUAUGAUUUCUGAUGGAUUUUUACUUCAGGGAAACUACACAAACCUCCUUGAAGAUACCGUCUUCAGUCUUAUCCCAGAAUGGUCGUCUCCCGCAGAGAAGAAUGUAACUGAUUACACCGAUACUCCACACAUCUGAUUCGGGUCCCGACCUGCGUUUCAACACUUCAGGUGCUACAUAGUAUGCGCUCCCAACGAUAUCAUGAAACUUUUUGCCUACAUUGUUACAUAAUGGUUAGAUCAAAGAAGUGAUAUGUGAAGACAACUUUGAAUCACAUUGCUACUAACCUGGCUUUAUGAAGUCUGAUAAACCGAAAUCUGUAGCUUUUAGAGGCGAAUCUUCUUCGGUUGAUUUGAACAGAAAAUUCUGCUUGAGAAGAUGAUUAGUAAAAAACAAUACUUGUGAAUAAAACCAACUAAACAUUCAGAAACAUGGUGAUGAAGUAAUUAACUACCUCUGGUUUCAUAUCUCGGUGAACCAAACCGCGCAAAUGACACUCAGCCGCAACUUUCAGCAUUUGUCUCACUACCACGGCCGCGUCUCUCUCGCUAUAACGGCUAUCUUUCCUGUAAAAACGCAACAACAAUAGUUUAGUUACUCAAAAGUAAUAAGACUCUAAAAUUUCAGCAACACACAAAUAAACGUAUUACUAAAGUUACCUGGCUAAUAUCCGAUCAAGUAAUUCACCACCCUCGCAUAACCUAGAGAACAAUAUAUAUCAUUAGCAACAGAAGUUUGCACUUUGUCUUUCUUGCAUCACAAGGAAAAAAAAAACACACGACCUAAAGGCUUUUUACUUACUCCAUAACUAUAUAAACAGAGUUCUUGUCCUCGAAGGCAUUAUAAAACCGAACCACAUUUUCAUGACCAGUCAAAGCUUGUAGUAUCUUCACCUCUCUCUUUACAUCUUCCACAGCUAUCGGAAUUGUCAUCUACCCAACAAAUCAAAUCCAUCGGUUAGCUCAAAAAACACAACAAUCCAAUAUUUUUAAUUUAACAUACCAAUUAAUUUGUCAAAAAAACAAUUCCAAGAAUCUUAAAUAAAAUACAAUUCUAUGAUUAGAAAGAGAGAAUCUUCAAGAAUUAUUGAUUCAUCAUACCUUGGCCUUAUCGAUCUUCUUGACCGCGACACGAUCAUCGGUUUUUUUAUCGGUAGCGACAUAUGUAUAACCAAAUUGACCAUGUCCAAGCAAAUUUCCAAUGGUGUAACGGUGAUCAAAAUCUUUAGCGUACCCGAAAUCGAUACGCUUACCGUAGGGGAUCGCUUCUCCAUGUCUCCUACCGUUAUUGCUAAUAACUUUCUCUCUCCCUCUCCCGUGCGGUGGCGUUUGCCGCGUCGGCGUUUUCUUAGCCGCCGCAUUGCGUCGCGGUUGCGUCCUAUGAUCCUUUUGGAUCGUAACCGCCAUGAAAGAACAUGGAGAUUGCGGUGGUCUGGUUUUAGCCACCGUGAGAGGAGGAUGGUGGUUAGGAUUCCGGCUACUGCGGUUGUGGCCGGAGGAGAAACAGAGACCCAUGAGUUUUGUGGGAUUUCGGUUUCUUAGACCCUAUGCAAUGACAAUGAGGAUGUUUUCUUAGGGGAUUUGUGAGGCAUUAAUGAAUAGAAAAUGAUGUCGCCAGCAUUGCCAGAGGGAGAGAGAGAGAUAUGGAGAAGGAGAAGCUUCGAUAUGCGUUGUGUCAAGAAAUAGACUUUUCUCGGGUGAACAUUUUUUUUUUUUUUCCAUUUAGCAACAUAUAGAAAAUUAUAUGUUGACACGUUAUAGAAAAUUUGAGAACUAUAGAAAACUAUAGAAAAUUUGAGAAUUUUACGUUAUAUAGUAUUCAAAUUAAAUUAUCAAAACAUAAAAUUAAUUAAUGAAUAAAUGGAUCGCUGAUAUGUCCAAGUAAAUGUAAACAAGCAUAUUCCUACGAUAAAACAUCGAAAAUGAUAUUGUCUCUCUAGCGCCAUGUUUCGAAGAAGGAGAUCUGAUUACUCCUAUCUCCUCUUUGCCCUCAAAUGUUCUGCUAGUUGUUUCCAUCCACUACAACUAAACCAGCAGGUUAUGAUCGACUCCACACUAAACCUCUCUACUUUAAGGCUGACUUCACAUCUCCAGUAGUACAUCACCAGCUCAAGAUGUCUCUAUUUCAGAAAAUAUGGGUAUCAUCCUCCCCAACACAGCCAUUUCCGAGGCUGGAACGAAGUUGUCAGAAACUGCAUCACUAGUUGAUUCCACUCUCACUUUAGGGGAAUUGUCCCUUCCUGUUUCAUCUAAUGUUAUUUCUACACCACAAGGUGAUACCACAUCAUUGGAAGUGACAUUAGUUGCAACUGAUGUUGCGGAUAUGGUUUAAGUGUGUGUAGGACAUUAGAACAUGAAGCAAUGUUUGAAAAUGAUGACUGUAACUUUUAGGGAACAUGAUCCGACUUAAUUAUGACUCUAGAUGAAGAUCUAGUGAACACAUCUGUCAUGAGAACCCAAUCAGGUCGAACAGUCAAAUCUACACAAAAGUUGCAAGAGAAUGAAUUGACAAUUGUUAAAGGACGAGGACGACACGGUCGUGGAGAUUGUGGUAGAAACUCUGCUUAACCCUCAUCUUUUGCUCUUUUUAUAGUUUCAUGCUUUGAAACAUUUUAUUUCAUAAUCUCAUAUGUUUGUAUGCAAAUGUAUGCUCAAUCUUCUCCUUUUCCACUCUCUAAAAAUUGUAUGAUCUCAAGUCAUAGUUGUAAAAAAAAAAAAAAAAGGUCAUAGUUGUAAUAUUUAUGUUAUUUCAAUUGCAAACCCUUUAUAAAAAAAAAAAACAAAAAAUAGAGUAAUGCAGUUGGAUUUUAGCUUAUAUUAUUUGAAUUGUACAUACAAAAUAACUAUAUGGAAAAAUUCUAAUGUGUGUGUGCGUUAUUUGCAUUAUUUUUGCGGUGCUUUUUAUCGUCCCGCGAGUUGCGAGACAUGUCUUAUAUUUCCUAUAACGAAAUAAUAGUUUGGAUUUGAAGUUUUCACCUAGGAAGCACGGAAGCUUCGUCCGAGGUCCGCUCCCCGCUUCAGAAUCUUAGUCGGAAUCGGAAGCUUUCAGAAUCCCGCUUUCGAGAAACGUCAGUUUGAUGAUGUUUUAUCGGUAAAACAAAAUUUAAAACAAUUUUAUUUGAUGAAAUUAGUAAAAGGAGAAUGAAGAUAAUGAUCUUAAAUUUAUGACUUUGAACUAUUUGACUUUUCUUUAUUGUAAACAUACACUAUUUGAUUUUUAAAUAUAGUUCAGGUAUUUAAAAUUUAUGUAUUAGAUUUGUGUGUUAAUUAUAUAAUUUUUAUAUGAGAUAAUGUUUAAUUUUUAUUAUAUAUGUAUGUGUGUAUAUAUAGAUAUAUAAAAUAUUAAUAUUAAUUUUUAUAUACGCUUCCAACACGUACCCACUUUCUAUAAUCAUAUAUUUAAAAGUUGGCCAACUCUCUCCAUAUGAGUGCCACAUCAUCACAUAAGAAAAUGACAUGUGUCCGUCUACAUUAUUUAAAUAAAAAAUGAACCAAAUUAAAUGAGAAAAAAAAAAUAGUUCUUCACAUUAAAUCAUCCAUCAAUCCUAUUCUUAACUUAUUUCUUUAAAAUAAAAAAAAAUUAGAAAAUUGUAUUACUAAAUCAAGCACUACUUUCAUUGUUCUCAUCUUAUUUUACAAUUUUUUUUUUAUCAAGAGUCGCUAUUCGAUAAUAACUGAAAAUUUAUUUGUGUUGUAAUUUAGUAGUUUGCUACCUAACUUUUUAUUAGUUUAGUAAUUUUACCUUGAGUGUGUUCUCGUUGUUACGUUUUGUGGUUCAUAUACGACUUUUCAUAUGACCAAAAUGGGUCUUUUCAUUUUUGUGCUUUAUUAUAAUUUAGUUACAUUUACAUGCAAGUUUUUUAAGAAUGGGUCUUUGAGACGUUAGGUAUACCAAAAAAUUCAAGACACGACAAUUUCUCUCUUAUAUAGCUAUAUGCAAUGGGAAAAAAAAAAGCUAUAUGCAAUGGCAGAAGAUGUAAAAAGUGUUGACUUAAAAUGAGAAUGUAGUUUUCGUCUUUUUUCUUCUUUUUAUAUGAAAAUUAUUGAGAUCUUGUUCAACUUAUAUCAAUCCAGUAAUUAAUUAUGAGUCUAUCACGAUAUGGCUGGAGUAGUAGAUCAUGAGAGUACAUAAAACAAAGAAUUGCUUAAUUAUGAUCAAGUCACGCAAGUUUCAAAUCAUACUAGUAACAUAAUUACAUAUAAUUAUAUCAAAUAUCUUAUAUUGUUGUUGUAUUUAUUCAUAAUAGUGAAAAAAGUAUCUUAGAUAUAUAAAUAAUCUUAGAGAAAUUGUUAAAAAUGCUCCUUUUUCAAUACCCCUUUACAAAAAUGCCUCUUUUGAGAGUCCAUUUUUAAGUUUGCCCUCUUUUAAUUUUUAAUGACCAUUUUACCCUUAUUUGAAACAAAAUUAGGUCCACAAAAUACAAAAUAUUUUUUGGCGGGAAAAGUGAUCCCGCAAUUUUCUCGCCAAAACACUUGUAAAAACCUUUAAAAUACAUUAUAAAAUUUUCCCGUAAAAAUUUUUCCCGCCAAAAAAUUUUCCCGCCAAAAAUUUUUUUUUGCGGGAAAAGUGAUUCCGCAAUUUUUUUGCCGAAAUUUUUUUGGCGGGAAAAAUUUACAAGGUAUUUUAAAGGUUUUACGGAGUAUUUACAAGUGUUUUGUAAGGUUUUACAAUGUAUUUUAAAAGGUUUUACAAGGUACUUAUAAGGUUUUAUAAGGUAUUUAUAACUUGUAAAACCUUAUAAAAAACUUGUAAAACCUUAUAACUUGUAAAACCUUAUAAAAUAGCUUGUAAAAUCUUAUAAUAUCUUAUAAAUACUUUAUAAAUACGCUGUAAAACCUUUUAAAAUACAUUGUAAAACCUUAUAAAUACCCUGUAAAAACCCUUUAAAAUACCUUGUAAAUUUUUCCCGCCAAAAAUUUAACGCCAAAAAAUUUGCGGAAUCACUUUUCCCGCAAAAAAAAUUUUUUGGCGGGAAAAUUUUUUGGCGGGAAAAAAUUUUACGGGAAAAUUUUACAAGGUAUUUUAAAGGUUUUACAAAUUUUUACAAGUAUUUUGGCGGGAAAAAUUGGGGGAUCACUUUUCCCGCCAAAAAAUAUUUUGUAUUUUGUGGACCUAAUUUUGUUAUAUUUCCUUAUAUAUUUAUGAUAUCUUUUAUUAAAAGAAGGGUAAUUUAGUCAUUUUGUACAUAAAAGGGGUAUUUUUAAAAAUGGACAUCCCAAGGGGGCAUUUUUGAAAAGGGGUAUUGAAAAAGGAGCAUUUUUGUGAGUCUCUCAUAAUCUUAUUUAUACAUGAAAAUGUAUAAAUUGAUAUUUUAAGUCAAAAAUGAAUUUAAACAUAAAAAUUGUAACUACAUAAGAUGGAUCUGAAUUUUAUUAACUAUACAAUAACAGAAAAAAACAUAAAUUAGUAACAAAACAAUCAACAUCAGUUUUUCUUAACAAUUUUCAAAACAAACCCACGCGUAGCGUGGAUAUUCAUCUAGUUUCUAUAAAACUUGUUUCCACGUUUCUAAACGCUUCGCUUCCGCGUAGCCGCUUCUGAUUCCAUGCAACCUAGGUUUUCACAUAUGCUUUAGAUAUGUUUUAUGACACGAAAAGUCUAAUCCUCUUUAGGGUACAUUCAAAGUUCUCUCGAAAAAUAUAACCGUAAUAUUUCUAUAUUAUAAUAAUUAUGUGCAAAUCGUCUCUUGGAAAUUCUUAAUUAAGAAUUAUAUUUCUAUAUUAUAUAAUUGUGUUUGAAAUUUUCCAUUUGAAUUUCUUUUUACAUAGUCUCGAAAAAUAUAUGCACAUAAAAAACAAAAAAAGUAACCUUUCAUAAAUUCUAAUGAGAUGAGAUGUAAUUAUUUAUUAAAUUAAAUAUCAAAAGAGUUAGUAAAUACGAAUAGAUCUGGGGUAUUUUGUAAAUAACAAAAGAUAUGAAGAAUUAUUUUCUGUAAAUACGGUUUGAUAAUAAUUAAACAUAAUUCAAAUAGAAAAAAAAAUUAAAAAAUUAACAACUGUUUCAAUAUAUUUUCAGUUUCAAUAGAUUUAAGAUUUAAAAGACAGUUAAUUGAAAAUACAUUUAUUUUGAUAAUAAAGUAAAUUGUUAAAAGUUGUUCAAACAAUCAAACAGAGUUUUCUCAUACUUUAAUAAAAACUAAUAAUCUACAUUCCAAACUGUUAAUAAUGAUUACAGUUCAGUAUCCUCAAAACUGCCCCAAUUAUCAAAUCUGUUAGUAUUUUCAACUGAUUUGCUAAACUGCAACACAUCUAGUUAUAUCAUUGCCCCAAGGAUUUUUUUGUAUUUACGAAACUUCCACAUAUCAUUUUGUAUUUACGAAAUUGCCUCACAAUUUUGGUAUUCACAAAAAUACCCAUAUCUUUUGCAAAUUACAAAAUUUCCCCACACCUUUUGCUAAUUACGAAGUUGCCCCUCAUCUUUUCCUAAUUACGAAGUUUCCUCACAUCUUUUGCUAAUUACGAAAUUGCCCCACAUCUUUUUAUAUUUACGAAAUUGUCCCACAUCUUUCGUAAAUUACGCAAUUGCCCCAUACCAUUUGCUAUUUACGAAGUUACCCCACAUUUUUCUAAUUACGAAGUUGCACCACAUCUUUUGCUAAUUACGAAAUUGCCCCACAUCUUGUGCUAAUUACGAAAUUGCCCCACAUCUUUUGAUAUUUACGAAAUUGCCCCACACCUUUUGCUAAUUACGAAAUUGCCCCACAUCUUUUGAUAUUUUCGAAAUUGCCACAUAUCUUUCAUAAAUUACGAAAUUGCCCCACACCUUUUGCUAAUUACGAUUUGCCCCACAUCUUUUCCUAAUUACGAAAUUACCCCACAGCUUUUGCUAAUUACGAAAUUGCCCCACAUCUUUUGAUAUUUACGAAAUUGCCCCAUAUCUUUCAUAAAUUACGAAAUUGCCCCUAUCUUUCGUAAAUUACGAAUUGCCCCACAUCUUUUGCUAAUUACGAAGUUGUCUCAUAUCUUUCGUAAACUACAAAAUUGCCCCACAUCUGUUCCUAAUUACGAAGUUGCCCCACAUAUCUUGAUAUUUACGAAAUUGCCCCAUAUCUUUCGUAAAUUACGAAAUUGCCCCACAUCUUUUCCUAAUUACGAAGUUGCCCCACAUCUUUGGAUAUUUACGAAAUUGCCCUAUAUCUUUUGUAAAUGACGAAAUUGCCCCAUAUCUUUUGCGAUUUACGAAGUUGCAUCUUUGCUAAUUACGAAAUUGCCUCACAUCUUUUGAUAUUUUCGAAAUUGCCCCAUAUCUUUCAUAAAUUUACGAGAUUGCCCCCACACCUUUUUCUAAUUACGAAUUUGCCCCACAUCUUUUCGUAAUUAUGAAGUUGCCCCAAUGCUUUUCCUAAUUACGAAGUUGCCCCACAUCUUUUGAUAUUUACGAAAUUGCCCCAUAUCUUUCAAUAUUUACGAAAUUGCCCCAUAUCUUUUGAUAUUUACGAAAUUGCCCCAUAUCUUUUGAUAUUUACGAAGUUGCCCCACAUCUUUUGAUAUUUACGAAGUUGCCCCACAUCUUUUGAUAUUUACGAAAUUGCCCCAUAUCUUUCGGAAAUUACGAAUUGCCCCACACCUUUUGCUAAUUACGAGUUACCCCACAUCUUUUACUAAUUACGGAAUUGCCCCACAUCUUUUGAUAUCGAAAUUGCAGAUCUUAUGAUAUUUACGAAAUUUCGCCAGAGCUUUUGUUAAAUACGUUCUCUGCAUCUUUUUGUACUGGUCUAGACACGUGCAAGCGUUUCUUUUUAGCAUUUGAAAGAGUUCUUCCUGGCUUUCUUUUUCUUCCUGAACCAACCAAAUUAUAUUAGAUCAAAUAGAAAAUAUCAUUUUUAUCAAGUAGCUCUAGAAUUUCUAAAGCCAAUUCAAUUUAGUCAAGAUUUGUAGAGAGUAGAGAAAGCGAUUCAUGAGUACAAGAGUAAGAUCAAAGUUGCUAGUUGUCAUCAUUAUAAGCGUUUUUCAAUGCAAGCAAGCUUAUAAGAAGCUUCUGCCCGAGCUUCCUCCAACUUUGCUGAGAGCUCUUUCAUGAAAGGUGUGCUUGUCCCGUGGCUGAUCCGCAGAAUGUCAAAUGCCUUAAUUAGUGAACUCACCGCCUCUUUGGUUUCCCCCAGUAACCUGCAACAUAACAAUUAUGCAUUUUUAUCCGCAGAGGCGCAGAAUAUGAUGGUAACCGACGCCAAGUUAUUGCACUCAGACUCAGAUUAACGUAGAAAGUUUAUAUGAAUGAUAAUUUUCUACAGGCACACGAUGAAUCAAUGUUUCUUUCCACAGGGAUUCUAACUCAGGGAUAUCCAAUUUGAAGGCUUUGAGCCAAGUUCCGCCUACCACUACUAGCCAAUCUCUACGUGUUCCCUGACUGAAAAAGUCACGUAGAAUAAGAGUCUCUAACACUGAGAACAUGUAGAGGAAUGGCAGCUUUGAUAGUUGAGGGAAAACAAAAGUUAUAUUUGGUCCUAACGAUUUUGACAGGAGAAUUAAAUAGAUUGUUAUAGAGCAUAAAUCUGUCUUCAAAUUCUAUUUCAGUUUCCGCAGCUCAAAAUCUAAUCAAAAUAUUAACUAAGGAUGCUUUGAUACCAUUCGAGUUUUCCCUGGGUAUAGAACUGCAGUCCAAUCAAAGGAUGGGUUGCUGGAUAUACUCCUGCAAUUUUAUUGACAAAGUAAGCACAAGUUAUAACCACUAAAAGAAUUUGAAUGAUUUUACAAUUAUUAUAUAGAUGUUUCUGUUCAAGGUGUAAUUAGCAAUUAGCAGCCAUUAGUUCUAGUAAACAGUUAGCUCUGAUACUGUACGCAAUAAGUUCCUAUGGUAAUUAUAAGUAAAUGUACCUAUACAAAACAAGUAAGAGCUUCCAAGUUAUGUUCAAAAUAUAAAUCCCACACCUGGCUAGAUCUAUAUACUAGAAGUCUGGUCAUUGAUAAAAGGUAUCCUAAAGAAAAGAAAAAUAUUGAUCAAACAUGCGUCAAGGAGCAAUGUAAUAAUCAAGAUGAAGUAGACAUACUUUGGUAAACAGGGACUAUGAGUCUGCAGUAAUUCAAAGCUUCUCUCCAGAUUUCUAAGUCCAUUAGCAUCUGCAAAGGAAUGUGUAACGGCAAGCUUUGAGAAACCACAUUUGUCUCGUCUUUUCAAACCUCAGUACAACUUCCAAAAGUCCAAAACCUUCUUUCCAAAAGAAACGUACCUUGAGAAGUUUUUCACGGGUUCUCAUUAAAGUGAUGGAGAAAGAAUGGUAAAGCUUAACUUGUAGUUUCUCAAUUGUCUUAUAUAGUUCAAUAGCGGCUUGUUUAUCUGAAAAUGGUCAAAAGAUUCUCUCAGACAACUUGUAACACAGCUAAAUGUAACCAAGAUCAGUUAAUCUUGUUCAGACAUAUAAACGCAGGUAUUGGGGAAGCAAAACAGGCAAGAAUUACUUUCUGCGGAAGGAGAUGCAUGAGCCUUCUCUGAAACUGUCUUGAGAUCACUUGCUAACUUUUUAACCUCUUCCUUGCUCCUAAGAAGCAAGCAUUUCUGGCAAACAAAGCCUUUUUCUUCUGCAAAAGUAAACAAAUGAGGAUUGGAGGGAUCAAAAAAUUUCUUGGAGACAAACUACGUAGUUAAAUCUUAACAUACCAGGAUCACGGAGUAAGAAACCAGUGCAUUUCUCAUUGGAACACCGAUAGCCUUCCAAUAUUGCACUUUCUUCAAUAUCAUGAGGUUUUCCCUUAGAUAUGAAAAAUGUUGGUACAGGUUGUAAGAAAUCUAGAAUAUUGAGUGGUCAAGUGCAAACUCCAUUCGUUGAUAAGUGGGGGGGAGAAUCAUUACUACUUACAACGUUACUGCAACGGGCACACUGACAAUGGAAGAGGUAUUGUUCUUUCAGAGACUUCUGCCGAGUCAGAGUGCUUCCCGCGGUUUCAAUAUAGCUGAUAGUUAUCUGACCAAAGACAAAGGAUCUAACAGCUAUAUGUCAGUGUGCUACUAGCAUAUACAAAAGACUCGAGAUGAAACAAAGCAGAAACUACCUCUGAAUCCUUUGAUAUGUUAUCCAUCGCCCGAACAACAGCCAUCUGCUCCUCAAACACUAAAACCGCAUUGGGAGAGCAGCUACAAAGCAAAAGAUUUAGGCAGGAAGCAAAGUGAUUAAAGAACACAAAGAAAAAGCAUUUACCUGUGAUUAAUGAUGGAAACCAAUGGAAACAAUCCUAUCCCUUGAGGUCUCAAUUCGCUGUCACAAAUGCUAUGAGCAUUGCAUGAGAACUGUGUUCAGUAGAAAUGAAAGUGGCUUAAGUAAUUAUCCCCAAAAACCAUUCCAAAUAAAGACGAGUACAAAAAAUUAUCCCAGUUAGCCCAAUGGAUACUUGAUACUCCUCAAAUUAAACGAGGCCACAUCACCAACCUAUCUAUAUAAUAAUAGUAAAUCAAAAAAAUUUCCUAAUACAAAAAAAGGAAAACUAUCAACUGCAGCUUGCAGGAAGACAGCUCAGUUUGUGUCAAGCUCACACUAGAAGAACAGAAAAAAAAAAAAAAAGCGCAGGUGUAGAACCUUUGAGAAGUUCUCGGCGAUCUCUCUUAGGUCAACACUAGGAAAUUGAAGAAUCAAGUUCACAAGAUUAGCCAUCUGUGCAUACAACAACAUCUGCUUUUCAUCAAUCUCAGACAUGUCUACCAAAUGAAGGUUAAAGAAGACAAAAGAAUACACAUUUCUAGGGGUAAUGAGAGAUCAUCAAUUUCACAAAACUAUAAAACCCAAAUAGGAAGGAUACGGGACACCAAAGCCUCCACCAAACUAUAAUUGUCUGUUGACGUAAUUGGCAGGACCUGGACAAGAUAAAUACAUUAAAAAUUAAGGAAACAUAGACUUCUAUCAAAAUGAAACAAAGCACCAAUGAAUCAGCCAAAACAAGGAUAUAAUCUAGACUUCUUCUCCACAUCUCAACACAAAGAACCAAAGCACCAAACAAACGAUAAGCUAUCAAACGUGAAUGCAAGCAACAUCACUCAUAGCUGAUGAUAACCUUUUCAUUUUGCAAAUUCCUCUUGAUGUAAAGUUUAACCAUCAGACGUAUUGUAGGAGUAACAAACUUCCGUUUCUCCUUCUCAAGCCUAGUAAGAGCUUUGCAUUCAUGUCGAUGUAACUUCCACUCUGACUUCUGAAAAAUAAUCAAAAACAAACAACAAAUCUUAAUCAACCAUCAAUUGAAUUUCUACAGAGAGGACUCAUAUCAAUUAUACCUGGCAAAAACUCCCACAGUACCAAACCACUUGACAACCAGAACAUUUCUUAAGGUUAUUGGUCUUGAAACAUCCGUCACACCUUGAUUCCAAUGAUGUAUUAUUCGGAACACAAAUAUAUGGCUUUUGGCUUAGAAUCACUUCUCCUGGAAGAAACACAUGACUGAGAUUAGUCUCAGACGAACAAAAGCACUGUUCCAACGAAACCCUAAACCGGCACAAGAGAGACGAACCUGGACGAAUAUCUCUGGUAGUGAAUAGAGAGCGGCCUUUGUGUGGGAGAUUCGAAACGCUUAAGCAGCGAUCUUGUAGAAAUCUCUGCAAAUCCGCCAUUAGUGAAGCUUCCAUUGGAACUUACGAGGGGUUUCGAGAACAACGGUCACUUUGAAUUUGAGUCUUAAUCAAUUCUGAGAUUUACAACAAAUUAGGGUUUUUUUUCUUUCUUUUCCGGAGAUUUGAUUAGUUGCAUUUAGAUCCCUUUUCUAAUUUAUGGAGUUUUCCACAAUUUGACGGAAAUUUGAUUAGUUGCAUUUAGAUCCAUUUUUUUAUUUAUACACUACUUACACUUCGAUCCCCUUUUUCUUAUUUAUACAACAAUUUGACGGAAGUUUGAUUAGUUACAUUUAGAUCCCUUUUCUAAUUUCCAUUUCUAUUUUCAGUCAUCAUUUUAAAUUUUGCAGAAGCUUAUGUAUGGUUAACAAUUGAAAAAUCAUUGAAACUUUAAAAGCUCUUUGUCCUCUUCAUCGUUGGAAGUUAAAAAAAAAACGCAUAAUAUUAACGUUCGAAUGGUUCAAAACUACAUGUAUAUAACACAGAAAUUAAAAAUACAUAAAAAGGUUACAUAUUUACAACCCUAAUGAGUAAUGUUAGCUUCCAUUAAAUUAAAACCACUGAAACUCAAAUUGUAAAGUAACUAUUUUGAAGUUAGAACCAAGGAUGCCAUGUUGGAUCCAUCAUACAUAAGUUGCGAGGCGACAAGGCUGCCUCUACUAACUCGUUCACUCCUCUUUGCACCGACUGUGGCGGCUCCACCGUAUUCUCAUCCUACAAAAACAAAUCCAUCAAUAUGUUUGAUCUUAUAGGAUGAUGAUGAUGAUGAUGAUGAUGAUGAUGAUGUAUGUACCUCUUCGGAAAAGUACUGUGGGGCUAUUCCUCUGAUCCGGCCAAUGACAUCUUCCACAUUGGCGUUAACUUUGUGCUUCAGCUCAGCUGAGUUCAAUGUAGCAAUUCCUCCAACAGGAGGAAUCGGCACACCAAGAGGUCUUCUUCCAAACCAAGACAGCAAUUCAUCACGGAAGAACAUAGCAAGUUGAUACCGUAGAUGUUCGUUUUGCUGAAAAUUUUGCAAGACAAUAGAGAAACAUAGAUCAAUCAAUGGCUUGUUGCAUCCCUUAGUUAUUAGGUAUAUAUUUUUUGAAUUAUCCCUUUACCUUGGAGGAGAUUACUGCUUGAGCUGCUGAACACAUGGAUGACAUGAGGAGACCUUCGACUCCAAACUGAGAGAAGAAUGCUUGCAUGUUCCUUGUGAGGCGGAAAGGCACGGGUUCGUUGAAUUCGAUCAUCCCAUUGGCAUCGUAAGCAGGGUGAAAAUCUGUCUGGAACAUUUUCCCAGUGUUUUUUGCAAACAAGACCUUGUUUGGGGAUCUCCCACCGAUUUGUAGCAUGAAGGACAUAAAACUGGAGACAGCUAGCUGGACUGCAAAUUGUUUCUUGAAAGCCCACAUAUGGCUUCCGCUCAUCAACGUCUUGUACAUGUACUGAGAGAAGAUACUGUCAUUGACCAAGGUUUUUGUGAUGUCAAUAUAUGCCUGCAGACGAAGAUCUCCUAUUGCCUCUGCUGAUAUUUGCCCUGAUAUAGCUUGAUUGAGUUGUUCCUUAAAGUGGGUGAUUGGAAGAUCUGCUUCGCGGUCAUUUCGUACACAGUGAUUCUCAUACACCUCAAGGAAAGUGUUGUACAUUAGAUCAUCCUCAACCAUCCGGACCUGAAACCAAAUAUGUUUGUUAAAACCAAUACUCCUCCAAUGAAACAUCAAAUCUGAAUUCAUGGUAUAAAAAUCACCUGAGACCAGACAGGAAUGAUGAUUGGAGUGUGAAUUCCAAUGUGUCGUCUUCUUGAUUCCUUAUGCUUAUCAAACAUUUGGUUCAUCACACGGAAAAGCUGCAAGAUCCGUUCAUCACUUCUAGCAUUAGGCGUCAAUGAUGUCUGGACUAUAAAGUGCUUUUGCGAGCCAUCUGAGCCAAUAAGAGUCAACCGCCUGAAGCUGCUUCCAUGCCUUCGAACAAUCGGAACGUCAGCUCCAACCCUAUCCAACUUUACUGUAUGAUCAGGUGCUACUUCCUGGAUAAUUGAGCAUAAUUAUUUUCACAAUCAAAUAGGGGAAAAAAUGUUCCAUUAGAAGACUAAAUUAAGUGCAAGGGAAUAGUAGUUCAAAUUUCCAGACUUAAUAGUUAAUUCUACCUGGUCAGCAAAGUACUGCCCUGGUAUCUCCACAUCAACAACAUUGAAGUCACGCAAAACCCUACUCUCAUCUUCCAAUCUUAACACAGCCGGAAACCUGUCUUCAACAUUGCUCUGAAGAAUAUUUUUCCACUUUUUCAGUCGCGUCGUCAGCUCAGCGAGUGUGGUAGGGAAUGUAGUUGUGCUUUCUGGAUCAAGGUGACGCUCAAAAUCCUGUUUGUACUCUUUCACAAAUUCGACAUGCUUGGUUACAGCAUCUGCCGAGAAACAAGCUCUGCAGACACCCGACAGUUCUUUUUUUAGUGGUUGGGGAACCUCGGCAGUUGUAGCAGUUGGAUACUUGUAACAACGAUGCAACAGAGCAUUCACAACUGCCAGCAGUCUUUCUUCCGGUAAUGUAACAAAUCUCGAACCUAUUUCCGUGAGAAGAACCUGAAAAGUUAGAUUACUUACUUAGAUCAUCCAACGAAAGAGGUAAGAACCUGCUCAGAGUCUAAUUGAUGCUAUAUCCUUCUUCCCAAUAGUGCGUUGUAUAUUCACUAUUCAGGAUUUAUCUUUACUAUGACAAUUGUAUGUAGUUAGAGCAAAUUUUAGGAAUAUGGUUGAUAUAUACAGAAAAAAGUAUCACCUCGAGUUCACUGGCUAAGUUGUUAUGUUUACCCCUAAGAGCCUCCAUGAUAUCCUUGGCAGCGUCGAAAGCACCUGCAGCAGAGAUUGCCAAGGAUGCACCAUUCCGUCUCACUGUGUUUUCAUUGUUAUCAUUGAUAGCGGAGCUGCUUUGGUGCAUAGGUUGAUCACUACCGGGAUGGACAUUAUUUUCCGCAGUGGAGCGUUCACUUUCUUGCCCAUGUGGGUUACCACUGUCAUGUGUUCCACCAGCCCCGCUAAUUUGAGCGCCUCGAUGGAUUUGAGUUUCCGAUGGUAAAUUGCUUCCACCAUGACCUGCACUUGCACCAGUGGCAUUUUGUUGCAUUCUUUGAGCCAAAACCAAUCUGCCAAUUUCGGAUUUGUUUACUGCAUCACGUCGUUCCAGCAAGUAUGUGCGCAACCAGUAAUAGAGAGCCUGAAAAUCGCCACAUACUCAGAUAAAAUAAUCAUAAUGCAUGAAUUAGUCAUAAACGCUAAAGGUAAAUUACCUGUGGGAAAACUGCAGCAAUUUUCAAUAAAACCAAUUUGCAAUGUGGUGCUUCUGUUCUUUGUAGGGAAAGUAACAGUUGUGGGAUCCAAGAAAGCCACACCCAGUGAGGAACUUGGUCUAAGUGUUUAUCAAACACCCUACCAACAGGCUCAUUCGCUGUAUCGAAGCUAAGAAGAUAAAGAACACGAGCUAUAUGACUUCUGGAAUUGGAAACACCAAAUCUUAUUCCCUGAAGAAAGCAACUGACAGCAUAUUCAAGCCAAAUUUCGUCUUGUGUUUCUUGGUAUGCCUACAAAAGCGAGUUAAAUAUAAGUACAAGGAAUACGAAAUUUAGGGGAAUGUUAAGAGCUAUAUAAGAAACAGAACACAGUCACAAGAAAUACCAUAUCACAAUAGCUUCCCCAGCUUAUCCAUCCUUUGGGUAAAUUCUUAAACAGGGUGAUCGCAUUGGAAUAUGCGAUAUUAGCACUUUCGGUGUCAUUUAGUUUCAAAUGAAAAUCCCCCUUCAGACGAAAUAUCUCUGCUUUGAUCUUAUCUGGAAAAUACUCCAAAUUUGUGCUAUUUAUCAGAUUAAGACCACUAGCACGCUCUCCCUUCAUUUCCAGAUAAGCUUUUGCUUGCUCUCUAAUUUUAACAAAAGCUUCCUGCAUUUACACACCCAAAAACAGAAGAUGAGGAAGAUACUUUCAUAUAUAACAGUAUUACAAGCUUUGAAAACAAAAGAAACCAACUAUUUAAAAAAGUUGAUGAGAUAUGAAUCAAAAAAGAAAAGAAAAAAUAUGCAGAUCUUGUGUAGAUUACUGCAAUUAAAGAUUUUGCAGAAAUGUACCUGUACUUCCAUUGUCGAGUGUCCAUACAUUUUUUCAAGAAUCUGAACACAAACAUCAUAAAGUCCCUGUUUCCGAGCUAUCUUGGCAAGCUUAUUGACGUUCCAUGCUUUGUCACGGAAACCAAGGUGAUGAAGUGGAGAAUUUGAAGUAGCGAAGUCUUUAAAUGCAUCAAUAACAACAUUAUACAUUUCAUUCCUCCACUGUAGCAUAUCAUACCAGACUGUCAUAUUGUCCCAUUCAUUUGGAGUCCUCAGCCUCCAAGUCUCAAGAAUAUCCUUCAGAUCUGCAUAACGAUUUCCAAGUCCACCAGCUGCAGCAUUUCCUGAAACUUUGUUCCCAUUUGCGAUGUCAACAUGAAUUCUAGCAGACUCCUGCACCUCAACUAGUUGUUGGAAUUGCUGCAGUAGAGGCACUCUAGCAUGAACAGACAUUUCAGGCAACUGCCACCACUGUUCCAAGGCAAGAUCAACGCCUUUCCCCACUGUGUUUUCAGCAUCUCCAACACCAUUUGAAUUUCUGUCAUGAAGGGCAAAAUAAGAUUGAACCAAACGAAGCUUUGGAGUCUCCUCCACUUGUGCCUUUGGUAUCACGUGGUCCUUCAAAUAUGCCCAAUCGGGUAAUUUCCAAAGACUAUCAAGCAGUAUUUCAUAAUUUUCAAUGCUUUUUCCAAAAUCUACCAGGGCAUCCCAUUGACUAAGCUGACUGGCACAGUGAAGCCACUGCUCCUCCCACAGACACAUUUCAGCUUUAGGGACUGUGUUGUUAUACGUGCCUUGGGUUGCCUUAACCAUUGCCUGGUAAAAGAGGCUCUGAGCACGCUGCCAAAAACCAUGCUGAACUAAUGAAAGUCCAGCUCUCGUUUCAGCGGUAAUGGACCUCUUCUUCCACAACCCAAAUCUCAUAUCUUCUUCAUUUAACAAACGAUAAAGCUCAGCAAGAGACUCAGCACAUUUUGAGUCAUUCAUGAACAACAUCACAUGGCUCUCUAGCAAAGCCAAUGCAAGAUGCCAUGCAUUGUACGUUUUCCCAAUAUAUUUGAUAAGCUCACUAGGCAUCCUAGGUUGAGGGUGGCUCAACUGAAGCCCUUCCAGAAGUGCUUGGACAACAUUUGGCCGGUGUCCUUGCUGCUUCUUAUGGUAGUCCUUUGAUAGUAGAGAAAUCAUAGGUUUAGCCAAUGCUACCUGUUCUUCCUUGAGCAGGGUUACCCAUACAAUUGGAAAUACCAAAACCCACAGAUGAUAUGCAACAUUGGCAUCAGUGUGAGCCAGCUCCCUUAAUGGGAUGACAACAUCAGCCACCUAUAGUGGAAAUUUGAAAAAGUUAUAAACUUCAGUAUAUGAAUAACGUAUUAUUCAGGUAAUCUCAUCUCAAUCAGGUGGAGAAUACGCUUAGGGACUUAUGAUAAUCUAGUCAACAUUUUCGAUCAGGAAUAACAAAGAGAAAGCACCAUGAUAACACAAAAGGAAGCUUUAAAUGAUUCGUAAUCACCUGAAGUUUGCUGGUCGCGCUCAGAAACUGUGCAUGCUUCAUAACAAUGCUGUCAAACAUCGAAGUAACUUCUUCGGGACCCUCUAAGUUAGCAGAAGCUUGGUGUUGUAUUACAGGAUUAUCUGAAGGCAAAAGUGGUAGUACCCUUGCAGAAUUUGGCGCCAGGCUAAUUGGCUUGUCCUCGACUAAGAUAGCUAGAAGGAGAUCAAGACCUUGUUUGAGCCAAAAAACAUCACUUAAAGCUUCCCAGUCCUGAACUUGAAUAAUGUACUGCAACCGCGCAAACAGAUUUUUUCCAAGAGACUCAUGAUACAACAAGAAGAACUUCCUUCUCAUCUCAGGAUCACUGGCCCGUAAACCAAGCAUAAAAUGUCUUUCAACUUUCAGAGAGACCUCUUGUCGUAGGCCCAGAGGAUACCUGUUCAUUAAAUAGACGAAGAUAUAUCAUCCAUCUCCUAAAAGAAAGAUGUGACACAAGAGAAAAAUAUAAAGCAUCAAACGUACUUCGUUGAAUCGGCACAAAGUCCGUAUAACAGCUGAAGAUACUUCUGAUCCCACUCUUCCAAAGCAUCAGAUGAGAAGUGUUGCUUAUCAAUACAAGAAAGCUUAUUGAGAAAGGUAACUACGUCCUUUUGGGUAAGGAAAGAACCAGACAAACCAGAUGCGCCUGUUUUGCUGAAAUCAUCCUCAACCCACCUUUUUAUCAUAUCUAGUAUGCAGAGAAGCACACUAGCAUCAGUACCCUUUUCGGAAAGUAAGGUGUUCAAAAUUUGAGUAACAGAUCUUUUGCAAUCUGCUAUAAGCAUGACCGUUUCAUCAAUAAGUUCCAAGACCGACUUUAUAUUACAUAUAACUGCUCCAACAUCAGCAGUUUGACGAGAAGAAGUAACUGCAGAAUCUGAAUCUGUUCGCUGGCCCUGGAAAUGGAAAGAAAAAGAUCCAGCGUAAGCCGUGAAUGGGGUACGACUAGGUUAUCUAGUCACCAUCCAUUAGUCAGAUGGAAAAAUAGAGAUAGAAAUGAUAUCGUGAUGUUGAUAUUAUACAUGAAAACACCAGAAAGAUGUUAGCUAAUAACAUAAAGUAAAUGAGUCUGAGUAGAAAGGUAAUGUAAGAGAGGAACCAGUCUAAAUCCUUAGAUCUUACAAGACAUUAAUGAAAGUCAUUGGUGCAAAGCUGAAAAAAAUGCAUAGGAGAUUCCAAUACUCACUAACGUGGCAAAUGCCAAGUAAAUUUAAAUCCCAUUUAAAGUUCCCAUACAAACGAAAGCAAGUAGUGUUGAUCUCUUAGCAGAAAAAAACAAUUAAGUAAGAAUGACGUACUUGUCUAGGAUGAGAACCCACUGCUGAUCCCAGGUCCCGUGCAAGGCGCUGAAGGAUACGCACCAACACAUAUGAAUCAACAAAGUUUUUAUGUACCUUGGCCAAGGUUUUGAUGACAAGAAGUACAAAGCUAAUCGAUCCAAAAAAGUUAUCAUCUCCUGAAGCUUGUGGAGCAGUAACAGUAUUCACAUGUUUGUUUAUCAGCUCAUUGACUUUCUGGUACAAUAGCUUUAUGUCAGGAGGUGUAUUAGCCGCAUCCAGUGGGAAUGCGGUGAAGACCAUCAUCAGCAAGGAGCACAACGAUUUACCAGCAUCGAGCAUCUUGUGUUUGAAACACGGUUCAAGAAUCUAGUGAAGAAACAAACAGUCAAUCUAGUGAGCAGUAGGCAAACAGCAUUAUUCUGUUCCAAAUCUUAGAAUAAAAGCUUACGGCAGCAAGUAUACCUGCGAAAUCUGGCUGAUAUUGUUCCUAAUGAAAAGAUGUGGCUGCUUCUCCAGAACUUUGUUCAUGACAUCCAAUCCCUGAGCAAGUGCUGUUGACGGAUCCGACUGAGACGGUGGCAUGCUGCUCAGCAGUUUUUCUAAAUAGUUGAACUUGACAUUAGCAUUUGGCCAAACCUCCAAAGCUUGUGAAAGCAAAUCUAAUGCUUGUUUGUACAUAGUAUUGGUUUCCCUGUCCUUAGGCUCAAUUACCAAUGCUACCUGUUCAAGAAAGCGAAAUAUUUUUAAAAUCGAGAAACGAAACUAAAAAUGAGGUCAUUUCUACUAGAUACAACACGACUAAUAGAUGAAUUUGUAAUAGCUCUUAGACAUGAGGUGACAUAGUUAAGAGAAUUGAAAAGCUACUCAAAGUAAAAUAUAUGUUCCAUGGUGUAAGGUACAAGCAUAAAGCCUUACUCUUAUGAGAAAAUUAAUGAUCAUUUCUUCCAUGGCAGCAUUUGGCUUGAAUUCCUCGUCAGGCUGGGUAGCAGAUCCAGGAGUUUCUAUAUUGGGGAUUGAUGCUGCACCGCCAGGUGACAUUACACAGAAUGAUUGGAGACCAGGUUCAAUUUUGACUCGUUUACUUGGAUCUUCUGAUGUGGAAGAUCCAUCUGUUGAACGCUUAGGAUCAGCACCAGAAGUAUGCAAUUCAUCAGUAAUCUGACUGGUUCCAUCAGUAUCAGGCACCAUUUUCAUUUCAUUCUGUCUUUGCCUUUCCCAGCUGACAACCAAUCCAGCAAGUUCAAUUGCGAGCCUCCUAUUCUCGGCAGUAGUAUUAUAUGGCAAACCUAGACGACUUAACGAAUUCACCAUUUGAGGGACAAAUUGUGCUCUACAGCUGUAAAAGAGAUCUGAAUGCCGAACAACAAGUAGGAAGAUGUGGAUCAAAUUUGGAAUUGAAUGACCUUCCUCCACCAAAAUUUUUUUUGUGUAUCUUAUCCAAAUUGGCAUGCGUGAAUCUCCAAGAGGUAGCCUUUUAGGCAAAGCUGGCAUUAGAAUAUCCAGGGCUUGCUUAACUAGCAUCUUAUUUUCAGGCUGGCAUGUCCUAAGAAGUGCGACAAAAACCUACAUCCAAUUGGCAAAUUACAUUUGUGUCAAUUAAAUAAUUAGACGAAGUUAUUUUGUAGGCAUAUGCUUCUCUUCAGCUUACUCAGAUUCAGGGAGGAGUAACUUCAUAGACAAAAACUAACCAAGUGCAUGUCAUAGUACCAUGAAGUCUAACAAACAUGCAUUUUUAAGACAGGCAUGCAUUAUUAAGACAAAUAUGCAUUCAAAUCUAGCUUCAUGUAGUUUGUCUAUCAACAAUCGCAUUGUAAAUGAUUUCCACUUAAGCUAAUAAUUGACCGUCUCAGGCAUACACAAAUGCUAUGACUACAGGGGUUUACCAAUGGAAAGAGGAAACUAAUAUGAAAUACGCUGAUUUCAGAAGUUCAAGGAAAUUCUUUUUUCUCACUCUUCAAGAAAAUCAAUAAACAUAACUGACAUAUAAAUUUUAACGGUACCUGAAGAAUGAUUUUCUCAGGAGCCUGGUAAGCAUCCAAGAAGUGGCAAACAUUAACAAAUGCCCACUGUUUACUGGCACUAUCUUCCCGUUUGAGAUGAUUCCAUCCAAAUUUAAUGAGCUCUUUUCUAUGAUGAACCAAGUCACUCUGAAGAUAUUUUAGAAGUAAAGUUGCUAACUGCAAAAGUUCAAUCCUCAAAGGUUCAUCAUAUUCAGCCGAAACCUACAACAAUCAAGAUGAGACUUAACAAUAAAACUAUAAUAAAAUCUUAAUAAUUCUGAAGAAGUGGAUAAAAAUAAAUAAUAAACAUGGGUACAGAGUUACCUCCAAAAACCUAUACAAAUACAUUCAUAACCAGUAUGACAAUUAUAAAGAAGUCUUCCCCACAAUUUUCUUGAUAUACUUGUUUAGGAGAGCAAAGGAACCUACCUCUUCGGGUGGAUCAAGAAGCCUCUCAACAAUGGUUUUGACUAUAUCAGGGUCAAUAACCUCCCAAGUUUGGCCGUUUUGGAAAGCAUGGGCAAGCAUUGGAAGAAUAAGCAUUUGCAUUGCUUGAACUAAAUGAUCAUGGCCGAGUUGUUUGGAAUGAAAAAGGUUAAGAAAAUGCAGGAGAAGUGCUCUUUUCAUGUUGGGCGGGUAUCCUUCUGCAACCUGAUGAAUAGAUCCCAGUUAUUAUACUACUGUUGAUAAGUGUGACAACUAUAAUGGAGUGACAAGGAAAUUGUAACUAAAAUUUCAAAUCUCAGAUACCUCAAUAAUGUAGAAUUCCUUCAAAAAGGUGUAGUCAAUGCGGCUAUGGAACAAGAAAAUGGAGAGAAUAUCAAAGAGAACAUUCACUUCAGAUUUUUCAUGCCGUAGGUAAUUUAAGAAGCACUUGACAAGCCAUUUGCUCUCUUUCACCUGAGUUUGAGAACACAAAAGACUUCAGAUUCCAACUUUUCAUAUAUUUUACAUAACUCAAAAUGAAGACUAUUGAAAUAUUCAAAUCUCACAACUAUAUGAAAAGUUGUGUAAAAUAUAUGAAAAGAAAUCAUAAAUUUCUUUAUCAAUUUACGUUGGUAGCUCAAUAAAGUAUAAAAUAUGGAAUUGAAACAAUGUCAGGAGGCAAGCAAUAUAAGAAAAAAUGUGCAUACCAUCAUAACACAGCCAAAUCAAGAAUUCAAUGGAAACAAAUUUAACAUAUUCCACAGUGAAGCCAAAUCUCUAGCACCAGCAUAUAGCUAAAAAUAAGCAAUCAUUAACUAUAAUGGUUUCUGAUCUUAGAUAUCAGUUUCAACUUUUCAUACCUGGCUAUUUCCAGGAAUAUUAAACUACGCAGCUUCAGCUUGAAACACAACGCAAAGCCAAAAAUUAUAAGUGGUUGAGAUAGAAGAAACUACCUGAACUAAAUUCAGCUCUUGCUCAUUCUGCAAACGAGAUAUCCUUGCAGGUGAUUUCCAAAUGAGAACCAAGGUAUCGAAAACACUGCGGUUACUCUGCAACCAGCUGGGUAUCAGUUUCACCAUUGUUUUGACGAGAUAGAGCCCCUGAAAGUACGCAUCCGAUGCUAUAUUAGCCUUUGUUGAUGCCACAUUAGAACUCUCUAAUUUAACAGAGAUAUGAUUUUCAUCUCCAGAUGAUGUAGCAGGAGGAGUUGAAGCUGCCGAGCUCAAUGUAGGAUCAGGUUUUGGCAAAAUUUCAGGAAAGGCAUAUGACAGUAUCUUCUGUGGAGACUUUGCAAGUUCUUCUCUUAAUGGCUGGCCAGCAUCUGAUCGGAUUAUAUACAUAAACCUGAGUUUUGUUUUUAAGGGAAAAAAAAGCUAGUAUCGUUAGGAUAUGUAGAAAAUCUACUCCAAGCUUACAGUAAACUCAUUACAAGAUGCGGUGAACGAAAGCUUAUCAUAAGACAUUGUCCUCACCUUCGGAAAUAUUUUGGUUCACUUAAUCUAGAAAGAAAGUAGUCAACAGCGAGGGCCGCAUAUCGAUUCAAAAAUUUAGUAAGCGGUAGACGGUAUGGGCUAUUAAUCUCACUGUACACUUGCCCAGGAGGAAGAGCUGCUUCUAAGUCAAUGGUUAAGGUUACAAGUUCAUCUAGAAAUUUUGAUGCAGCAUGUGGAAGUAAGUGGAAGAGCUCGAUAAUAGCUGCCAUGGAAACAAAAGAAGUGAAUAAUCAUAUGACUAGACAUCGAUUAGUUAUUUUCAAAAACCAAAUUACCAGCUGCUAUUUUUGGCUCUUCUCCAGCUUUCCAUGAUUUCUGGGACUGGGCAAGUUUCUCCGGCUCCAACCAUUUUUUAAGGUGCUCCAGCAACUUUCCUCCUAAAGUCACAUUAAACCAAUUUGACAGAAGUUCAAGAAGGCGUGCCAGACCUUGCAGUAAAGGCAUACUGAGAUUCUUUGUGUGUGCCAGAUUAACAAGUAUUGGCCUGAGGCUACUCUGAAGAAGUUCCUUGGGCAUUCGUUGUUGAUUAAUAACCUAAAUCAGAAAAUAUAAUUUCAAAAGCAAAUAAAUUUAUAAAGAUAAAAAAUUAACGUAGAUAGGUAUCAAGAAAUAGAUUCCUAUGAUAACUCCGUAGAGCAAGUUCCUCAUAUUCAACAAGGCAAGUAUUGCGUGUAGCUAGCUAGCAUGGUUGCACAUAUCAGUUACCCAAAAAAGAAAACUAGCCAUGCUAGUACGAAUAGGAAAAUCUAUUUUCUUCACCAAAUAUCCCAAAAAUCUUCAAACUAUAUGUGCAUGCAAGAAUCCUGAUUAAGAUAAAAGACAACUACAAACCUGUCUUAAACCCUCCUUAGCAACCGCCACGAUUUCUGGUGCUCUACAUGUUAGAGACUUGAAGAACAUUGAAAUUAUUUUGGCACGUAGUUCAUUGUGAGUUUGCGUUCGGAAAUCAGUCCACGCCAUAGUAGUGCAGAGAAGCUCAAUACAAGCUGUUCGAAGUCUGUUCAAUGAUGUAAGCACUUUAGGAUUCAUCAACUUCACAGCCCAUACAGUUUCAUCAGCCUCAGCAAUUUGUAAUGCUUCUUGCAGAAAAUUAACCAACUCUGGAGUCACUUUUAGAAGGGGGGGCCUCAGAGCCAAGCAGAAAUUCAGAGCGGCAACUGUUCCAACCUGUAGGUAAAUAUAAUAAGGCAAAAAUUAAAGACAGAGAGGAAGACAAGACCGGAAAGAGAUACACAAAAGAAAAAUAGCACUGUGAGGCACCUGUUGAUCAACUGUCUUUGAUCGGAGUGGACGCAUUAUAAGUGGCUGUAGUAAUAGUUGGUACAAAGGCUCAAGCAACUCAGUUACCUCACUUCCAGUUCGGCUAGCCAAAAGUGCAAGGCAGUUCUGUACAUUUUUCCUCACGGGGAUGGAUGCGUUAGGAUUGAAUAACUCUGUGGCAAGAUAUUCUACAACAUCUUGAAAGCUUUUUCUACGCGCUUCACUGUUUGCUUCGUCAACAUUAUUAACCACACGUAGAAUCUGCAUAAGAACCUGACUUGUCUCUUCUUGCUCUUUGCUAGCAUAAACAGGAAGCCUCUUUAAAACAUAAACCAGACCACGCACAAUCUUUACUUGGAAAUAACAUAAUGUUUCAACAUUCACUUUCCCCACCAAUGCACCUAACCCCAUAACCCCUCCCAUCUGCGCUUGCCAUGUGCUCCCAUAACAGCCAUGUAAAAGUCGAGGCAAAAGUUGUUCAAACACUGGUAUUCGCACGCUUGGAUGGGGUGAAUAUACUGGAUUUGUAGAAGGACUCGAGACAAUCAUGGAGGCAUUGUGACCACCCCUAGCCAUCAACACAUCAGCAUGUUUGACAAGAGCGAGGAACAAAAGUGUUUCAGCAAACACAUUUAACGCAUUCAGAGCAGCUUUGGCGUGGAGCCUGUUUUCAUCUGCAAGCACAUCGACCAGUGCAUCUAAAAAUAUUAAAGGAUCUAACUGCUUUAAAUUGGAUGAUUGAUUACUCCUGGAUCUGGAACUUGUCGAAAUCACAGAAUCACCAAGUGAACUAGUACUUGUCGAUGCAUUUGAGGAGGUAUAGUCAACAUGCAAAAUAAUCGCAAAAUGCCGGCAGAUGUUUUCAACAAAGUCAUCAUCCGUGUCACUGAGAUCUGGAUCAGAACUGGCAGCAAGUAUAGUGAUCAACAGUGUCUUGAAGAUUGACUUCUCAGCCAUUAACUGGGUCUUUGUUUUCACUCCUAAGUCAGCCUACGACAGUAAGAAACAGCCCACUUAAUGAAAUGAAUCAUUCUUCAGCAUAUUAAGCAAAGUGAAACAGGUAUUAUAUGGAAAAAAGAGUUCAUUUAGAGAAGACGACAUAUAUACAAGAUCAAUUUUCUAUUAAGAAAAUAGAAAAUGAAUGGCAACAAAAACGAGUAUUACAGAAUUAUAAUCAUGCCCCACGUCUGUGGGUCAACAUCAAGUAAUGUCAAGAUCCUAGCCGAUAUGCAUUAUAAACAAAUGGCAAUGAUACACCAAGAAUGUGCCAGAAUUCAAAACGUAAACAAGUAAGAUAACCUGCCACAGAGAUAACCUCUGCCAUGUAAAAAAAAAGUUCAGAGUCCAACUAUGAUAAAUUAAGAUUAUAAGAAUGAUACUUAAAACUAACCUUGAUUUCCACUGAUUCACUCCUGUGCCAAGAUGAAUCCACAGAGGAACGUAAUAAAGUUGAUAAUUGCCUGGGCGUUUGACCCACAUCAGUGACACAUCCAGGUAAAUUAAGCUGGGACAAUAAGCAUACACGGAGGAAUUUUAGAGCUUGCUUUCUGUAGUAUAUGUCCAUGCCGUGAUUUUUAUGAAUAACCGCUGCUACUGCAAGAUUAAUAAAUUUGUCUAAUGGCACCAGAAAAGGUGUUGAUGGCUCAAAUGUCAGGACUAAGCGAAGACCAUGCUCUGGAUUAUCUUUGCAUUCAAGUGUAAGUGGCUCUUUCAGAAAUCUUCGGUUGCGACCACCCAACUUUCCAAGGAUUUGUAAGGCUUUUUUACCCCACGGAUAUGGCACAGGCCUCAAAUGGGACCAUAAUGCCAAGAUCACUUCAGACAUCACAUUAGCCAUGCUAGGUUCCAGGAAAUCAGGAUUCAGACUAUCCACCCAGAAUUCAAGGGUGCGUAACCCCAAGCUCACAAGUUCAUCGCUUCCCCUCAAACAGAAUACAAGAGGCUUCAUGAGACGGGGAAGGUAUGGCAAUAAGGAGCUUAAGCGUGCAGGAAGCGUCAAACAAAGCUCUAACAAAAGAUCUUUCAUGUCCUCCCCAGCUGGACCCUCGAGCAUUGUCAAAAGAAUAUUAAGACAAGGUAGCAGCAUGGGGAUCAAAUCUCUCAGAAGCAGCUCAUAUUUACAUCCAGCAAGACCUCUGAACACAGUGCGGAGCAAUUGCAUAUAACCAAGAGGUUUAUCAACUUCCGUAGCAUUCUUCAUGCAGACUUCCAUAAUAACAGGCACAUGGUGCUGUAAUAUUCUUUCAAAAUCAGAUGGUGUAUUGGUGACAGCCCCAAAGAUGCAUCUAAACAAAUGCAAAACUAGUUUAGUUGCAGCUGAAUCUGGAUUCUUCAGAACAUCAAGUUUGCUGCUAACUAGUAAAUUAAUCAAAACAUCUGCAAAUGGCUUGCAAACUUUGGGAGCUUGCAGAAGUGCUGCAAAUAUCUGAACCAGUUGGUUAUUGUUAAUCAUGCUCUCAAAAAGCUCUGGCAUGCAUAACGAGAACAUGUCCAUUAGAUCUCGAGGUUCCAUAAUAGCAAGAAUCUGGGAGAAAAGAUUAAGCAUUUCCUUCUCCUCAUCCUUUUCUUUGAAGAGAGCUAAGCAGUGGACACCACUCUUUAAAACACCAGAAGCUUUCCACACCUGCUUAAAGGCAGAGAUUACUAAGGUUUAUAGUCAUGCACUACUAAUGACUUAAGUAAACAAUCUUACAAUAAGUACCUCAUCUUCUCUCAUUCCUUUAAAACCCUGCGGAGCAGAUGAUUGUGAAAGAAGAGCUUGAGGGUUCAUCCCCUGGGCAGCAAGAGAAACUGUCACAAUUAAUAUACUUGCAUGACAAAACAAUAGAUUACUGAUACAAGCGACAGGACACAAACCUGAGGUCGAGGCAAAUGUGCAUGGGUAAUACUCCAUAUUAUUGUUUUCAUUCCUGAACAUAAAUCAAAAAGAGAAACAAUAUGAUCGUCCAGUAUAGAAUCAUGAUCAAUGUAAAAAGAUAAUUCUGCUAAGAUUCAGUACCCAUGACCAGUGUCUUAAUCAGAUUCUUACAAUCAUUCACUUCUUUGGAAUGUUCAACAGGAACCUGCAAAUUCAAAACUGCCUGCAACCAGUGUGGUUUACCAAUAAAUAACUUCUAGAUAAUUCAUUUGUUGAUCAGAAGAAAAUAUCUGAAGUUAUCAAUCAGACUGCAUAAUGCUUUGUCAAGAGACAAAAAGCCUGGUAUAAAAUCUAAGAAUCCAACUUGGAAUUAUAAUACCACCUAUAUUCCAACUUGAAGCGUGAGUGGAAUAUCCGUGUAAGAUAAUAUGAGAGCUUUUAAUUAGCAACUGAGUUUGAAUAUAAACAUGUGCAAGACGAUCUCACAAUGGCUGAUAAUUCGUAUUACUCAGUAAAACAAAAAAGUAAUCACUGAUAAGAGAUGACACAAAUUACCUGGACAGGAAGUUCAAGCUUCGACCUCAAAGUGACCCGAUCCUUUCCCACCUCACCCUCCUCCAAAAGCUACGAAUCGCAAAGCAAGAAUAGGUAAAACAUCCAACAAAUAUAAUGGAGUUGAGAAAAGAAUUAGCUAAAGGUUCAAGAUGCCUUUUUAGUAACCUAAUAGCACCUAAUUUAAAGGCAACAUAAAGAUAAAAGAAAUGACAUAUUAAGCAAAAAUACUUUUUACAGCUAUUCUAAAAGACCAUCUGGAAAUGGAAAGUGAUAGCAAGAAAGCAAAUGCAUCUUGCAAACUGCCCCUGAAGAUCAAGUGAUCAACUCAAUAAUAAAUACACAUCUUUCCCAAUCUCAAACAUUAGAAGGAAAGAGACCAAAUAAAAAGCAGCAAAACUUGCCAUUUGAAAAUCAGUAAAUCAUCAGUAAUAGAAGAAAACCAAGCGAAAAAAAAAGUUGAACUCUUGAUCACAACAUUUGAUUUUGAAAAGCAACCAGCAUUACCUGAGGAAUAGUACGCUUGAAAGUACUGAAUUUCCCCACAAAGGCAUCCAGGAUACGUCCCUAUAUACAGGUGUAGCAUGAGGUAAGUUAAUGGACAGAGAAGCCAAUUGAUUCUAAAAUGAACUCUCAAGUGAAUUUUAUACCAGUAAAAUCCGUGCUUCAUCCAUUGACUGCUGAUCAACACCUUUCUCAAAUAUUGGUUCUACCUGUAUCAAACACAAGUUUUGAUUGGAGCUUAAUUAAUAAAAAAAGAAAUAAACUGGUAUGCCUGGUUUAAGCAGUUUAUCAAAUUAAACAAGACAAACACAGUAGAGAAUAUAGAAUUACCAGAUUCAGCAUCAGCCGGGCACAUGUUGUAUGGAUGCUAAGAGAGAGGGUAGAGUCGUGCAUGUUUCUUGAAAAUAGGUAGAUAAUCCGUGAUAACUGUGUUUAAAGUUAAUCAGAGGAAUGUAAAGGAAGUACACUCACUAAGCUUGAACAAAAAAAAAUGAUGUUCUCUAACGAAAUCCUGAUGAUGCAAAGAAAAGUGAUCAAUAUGUUACAUUCCCAAGAUUUUCCACACACAGUGCAAUAACUGCGUAUUGUAAUGAAGUAUUUUUACUUAUAACGGAACCCAGGCUAUCACAAUCAACGUUUAAUACAGUUUAAAGCUCUGCAUCAGUAAAAACCUGAGCAAGAGAAAGAUCUCCGCGAACAUGGUGAACGAUCUCCGCGAGUAAGCUGUAAGCCAAAGGCCUCAAAGACUCAAAACAUGCUCGCCCAGUUCCAACUAGAACCCUAACACAGUAGACAAAGAAAAAUACCUGACAAAAGUCAAUAUAUGUUUAUAGAUACUUCAGCUUGAUAAAUUACAUGCGAACAAAAGCUGUGCUUGAUUAACCAAACAGCUCCUUCAGAAUUAUGAAAUUUUUUGAAUUUCAAAAGUCAUAAGCCUCAUACCUCUCAUCUAAAAGAGUGUCAAUAAGAGGAAAUAAGCCUCUCUUAAAAUCCGUCCCAAGUACAUGCUUUAAUGAGACUAAGAGUUCCUGCAUUUCAUAUAAUGAGAAAUAAAUCUUUAGAAGAAAUCCCUUAAUUGUGUCACCAGAGAAAACAUACCCAAAAGAAAAAACAAAAGGUUUUCCACCUUUCUGAUAGAUGCAGAAUCUGAACAGGUCACAAGCAAAUUUACAAUGCUUUUGCAUAUGCUUUCUUCAUGCGGUCGGAUAUAUUCGGCGCAACUUUUUAACAAAUAAGUCAAAAAAGAAACCGUCUGCAAAUAAACCAAAAACAAAAGUCAAUAUAUCAUGGCAUCUCCCAGUUACGAACAAUAUAAUUCAGAUGAAACAAUGAGUCGGUGUAGGCCUUGAUAUAAUAAUAUUUCCAACAACGUAGAAAGCUUUGAUUUCCUUCCUUACGAAGAAACGUUGUCUCACCUUAACCUGUGCACCCUUCAACUCUAUGAACUGAGGCUUCAAAUGAGAAGGAACAUUCUCAGGUCCAGGGACAGAUAUAGCAACAACCAUCAGGGGAAGUAAAUGAGGAAUGUUGGUCUGAACGAGUCGGCUAUACAGCUGGAAAAGGAACAUAACAACAAGGGGGCUCUCUGUGAUUAUCUUGAAUGACCGAGUACUCGGGUUAAGCUGUCCAUUCCCGAUAGGUGCGGUAGGGGUAAGGGACUGAUCAGAAGACGUAGGCAUCUCCAUAGGCUUCACCUCUUCCAAUUUAACAUUAUCGAAAAAAUGGCUGACAGUGGAUCUGAAAAUCGAAUAGAUUUUGCAGACAAAGUCUAAAAAUGGUUGAACUUCAUUUUCUAGUGUGGGCCUAAAAUUCCUAAGAAGGUCAAAGAUUAUCCGAAUGCAAAUUAACCCGUUUUCUUCAUUAUCUGUGGUGAGCACCUGCAUUGCAACCUUCAAAAGGUCUUGAACAAAGGGACGAAGAACCUCACUGUGGGGAAGACGAUUGAGGAUCUCAACCACAAUGUUCCGCAGUUUGUGCUCCGGAUUAUCGAUGAAUUGCGGUGUAGUAAUCUGUAGAAGAAUAACCGAGAAUGCUGGGAAGUAGCAUUUUAAGAAAUUCAAGUACUCAGCCGUAUGUGCUAUCUCUAGACUGUCCCUGACCUCCACCACCAUCUCAAGCCUUGUUGGAAUAGCUACACAAAACAAUUUCCCAACAGAGAUAUAAUCAAAAAUUAGAAGUUUUGCUUUCACAGUUAAAACUCCUAAACAAGAACUAACUCGAAGUCAGACACUAUAAUUCAUACGAGAAUCAUGAUAGUUCCCGGAUUAUCUCAAAACCCAAAAUCAAAGGAAACAGCUUUAAGUUAUAGAGAGUGAAAUCAAGAGAGAAUUACGUAGGUCAGGAUCCACGAGACGACGGGAGUGUUGCUCGAAGUUCUGAAUUGGACUCAUGGUGAACCACAAAAGCGAAAUAAUUUACACGGCGGAGCUCUUUCGCCGAUCACGGACGCGACGAUCUCUAAACGCACCGUACAAGUGCCAGACUUAGGUCAAAAACAAGUGGAAUUUAGCGAAGGCUUUAACAAAAGCUACUGCACUAGAGACAAUUCUGGAGAUUUCCCGAGAAACAUCUGAGCAAAGACCAACGAAUUCGAGGAGGAAGACUAUGGAAGAUGAUGCUUCUCUAAGAAAUUUUCCCUCUCAUUUUUGUUUCUCUGUGACGACUCUCUUUGAAUAGUGAGUUCGGUGAACUCCGAGAAGAUUCAUGAGAUCGCCGACUUGUACGGCUCAGUUUUUAUUAUUUCCUUAAUGGGCCCAAAAAAGGCCCAAUUUAAUUUCAAGAGGCCCGUGGUGCAUUUUUUAAUUUUAGGAGAGGUGUUGUUAUCAAGAUGGUCACAUUUAGCUAACGAAUUUUAAUUAGACAGGAGCAAAAGCCAUCAUUAUAAUUUUAAUUAACCAAAAUUCAAGUGUAGUGAACGCUAAGAAUCUAACAUCCUCGAAAUUGCUAUAUAAGACACAAAAAAGUAACACUAAUUCUUGUGUUAUGUAAUAUUGAUGGAAGAAGGUACGUAUAAUUAAGGAGAGUAAUGGAGAGAGGCAACGAUUGGGGAAGUGGUCGGGCGGAGAUAGAGACAAAAGCAGCGUUUGGGUCGGUGAAAGAAGCGGUGGCCAUGUUCGGAGAGAAAGUUUUAGCCGGAGAGAUCUAUGCAACUAGGCUUAAAGAGGUAACAAUGUUCUAUAUUAUCACAAAUAUUGCUAAUUUUUAUUUUGGGAAUAUUUAUAUGUUGGUAAUAAAUCUAACCUUUUGACCUAAUUGUUUACAAUUUUUGUAAAAAAUUCUAUUACUAGAUAUACAACACACAAUAAAAUGAAAAAAAAGUUUGUAAAAUAUUCAUAUAAGUAUGUGUGUGUGUGUGUGUGUGUGAGUGUAUAUAACAUCCAUAAUUUGAAUUGUCAUUGUAUAUAUGAAUAAAUUGAUACAUUCCCAUAUAGUUUUUACUUUUUACAUCACAUGUAUAUGACGGUUUCAGAUACGGACAAAGGAAACAAAUUUAACUCCGCGUCAUCAAUCAAGACUACGAUCUCUAACACUAGAGCUCAAGCAGACAAAACAAACUCUUACAAGAACACUACAACUUAACACGAUCAUGUCCAACAGACUCAAAACUCUAACACAAGAACUCGAACAUGGGAGGAAGGAGAUACAACGGCUCAACAGGACGAGGUCGAGUCGCCUAGAUAAUCCGGAGAUUGAGGAACUCAAGUUCGUUGAACAGCAUCAAACGACGAUGUCUAAAGAUGUUGAAGAAGAGAUUGUGACGACGGAGGAGUUGGAGAAGAGGAGACUCGUGACAUUCGCGAGCUCGCCUUUGCUGACACGUGUGAUGUCAAGCGUCGGGGACGAAGAGGAGAGGAAGAAGAAAGAGAAUGAUUGUUUGGUCAAGAAGACAAAAUCAAAGAAGGGUUUUGCUCCGUUCAUGGGAUGGUUUAGAGCAACCCGAGGAAGAGAUUGAUCUAUAUAUAUAUAUGUCCAAUAAUGCUAGGUCAUAUUGAUUGUAUGAUUUUAUAUCGUUAUAUAAUAUAGUUAAUGUGAUGCGAAUGCGAAAUGUAUCAAUCCCGUUCUAAGAGUUUGAUGAACAAUACUUGUAUGUUUACAAAGGAUUACUGCAUAUAUCUUGCAAUGAUCUUACCUUGGUUCUUUACAAUUUUCUCUAUAGAUAAAAGUCUUACUUGUUAUCACAUUGAACACACGCAGUUUUAUCGUCAACAUUUAUAUGUACAUAUUAUUCUUUUGCGAUUUCUAAUUAGGUGUCGUCUCUGUGAUAUAUAGGCCAUGAAUGGUUGUGAAUUUUUAAAUACGUUUUAGAUUAUAGAUUUUGGUUUUUGGAUUUUAGAUUUUUGUUUUUGGUUUUAGGAUUUUGCAAAAAUAAAAGAAAAAAAAAUUAGAAAAUGAAAAAAGUGUUGUGAAACUUAUUGUUGUCUCAUUCCAUUCCAUGAAUAAUGAUACAUAUAUAUAUAGGCAUAUAAACCUAGGGUUUUAGAGUACAUAAUGAAUAACCCUGAUGGGCUUAUUGGGCCCGGUUAUAAGUCCAAUAUGAUGUAUUAUAACACUCCCCCUUGGACGGAGUAACCGGACCUGAUGGUCAAUCGGGAUCUCGAUAAUACGCUGGGGAAUGUUGCCUCAUUAAAACCUUACCAGGAAAAUCCAGUGGGAAAAACCAUGGUGAAGGAAAAAGAGUACAACACGCAUUACUCCCCCUGAUUAGAGCAUCACCGUAGAUCUACUCAUUCCUAUUUGUUGGAUGAGCUUUCGGAGUGUUGAAGCGGACAAUGAUUUGGUGAAAAGGUCGGCGAAGUUAUCGCAUGAUCGGACCUGUUGAACGCUGAUCGUACCAUCCUUCUGCCAAUCCGAGGUUGAGAAGAAUUUCGGUAGGAUGUGCUUCAUCCGAUCUCCUUUGAUAUAACCUUCCUUGAGUUGAGCAAUGCAAGCCGCGUUGUCUUCAAACAUAACCGUGAGCUCCUUAUCUUCUUUCAUACCACAAUCUGAUCGGAUGUGCUGAGUCAUGGAUCGUAGCCAAACACAUUCUCUGCUGGCUUCGUGAAUGGCCAAAAAUUCUGCAUGGUUUGAUGAAGUGGUAGUGAUUGUCUGCUUUAUCGAUAUCCAAGAGAUAGCUGUUCCUCCAUGCGUGAACACAUAACCAGUUUGAGACUUGGCAUUGUGCGGAUCUGAUUGAUAUCCUGCAUCAGCAAAACCAACUAGUCCAUCCUUGUUGUGGUUAGUGUAAAACAGUCCUAAGUCUUUAGUACCUUGAAGGUAUCUUAGGAGGUGUUUGAUACCAUUCCAGUGCCUCUGAGUUGGACAUGAGCUGAAGCGAGCUAGGAGGUUCACGGCAAAACAAAUGUCUGGUCUAGUGUGACUAGCCAAGUACAUUAACGCUCCUACAGCACUGAGGUAUGGCUUUUCUGGACCGAGAAUUUCUUCAUCGUCCUUCUUGGGACCAAAUGGAUCACUGUCCAAUCCUAGGCUCCGGACAACCAUUGGGCUGUUCAAUGGGUGGGCCUGGUCCAUAUUGAAUCGCUUGAGUACUUUUUCAAUGUAAGCCGCUUGAUGCACAAGGAUUCCUCCUUUAACGUACUCAAGUUGUAAACCCAAACAGAAUUUAGUUUUACCUAGGUCUUUCAUUUCGAAUUCUGCUUUCAAGCAGUCGACUGUUUGGGAGAUUUCACCAGAUGUUCCGAGGAUGUUUAGAUCAUCCACGUAAACUGCUAUGAUUACAAAUCCUUUGUUUGAGUAUUUCUUGAUGAAAAUGCAUGGACUGAUGGGAUCGUUUUUGUAGCCUUCUCUGAUGAGAUAUUCGCUUAACCGGUUAUACCACAUACGUCCACUUUGUUUCAGUCCAUACAAGGAUUUGUUCAGCCUGAUGCAGUAUUGAUCUCGAGAUGCAUGCUUAUCUUUAAGCUCUAUGCCAUCUGGUAAUCUCAUGUAUAUUUCAUUGUCGAGGGGCCCAUAGAGAUAUGCGGUGACAACAUCCAUUAACCGCAAAUCUAGAUUUUCUCUUAUGGCCAGACUUAUGAGGAAUCGAAAAGUAGUUGCAUCCACCACCGGAGAAUAAGUCUCCUCAUAAUCGAUUCCGGGUCUCUGUGAGAAUCCUUGUGCUACAAGCCGUGCUUUAUAACGAACGACUUCACCGAGUUCGUUUCUUUUACGCACAAAGACCCAUUUAUGGCCCACUGGUUUGACACUGAAUGGUGUCCGGAUGAUCGGACCAAACACAUUCCUGAGUUUGAGACUCUUUAACUCCACGUUUAUGGCUUCUUUCCAUUUUAGCCAGUCUGUUCUAUGAGUGCACUCUAUGAUAGACGUGGGUUCUAGAUCCUCUUGCGUGUUCGCAAUAUCAAGUGCUACUUUGUAUGCAAAGAGUGCAUUUAAGUCGACUUCUUUUCUGUUCCAUUGGGUUCCAGACAUGUUGUAAUUGAUAGAGAUCUCAUUGUUAUCGAUCUCGUCAGAACCUAGAGAUUCGGCGUCCCAAACCUCUUCUGGUGGUUCAUUAGAGUGAGUCUCAGCGCGCGCUAUGUCUGUUAUAUUGGGAAUCCCGGUUUCAACUAUUGCACCUUUCUUUGAUUUCCGUGGAUUCUUGUCUUUGGAACCUAGAGGUCUGCCACGUUUAUUUCGUGAUGCAGACUCUGUAGCAACUUGAACUUGUCCCGUUGGAACAGUGAUUCGUACUGGUGCAUUACAAGCUGGUAUGUACGAUUUGGUUACUUUGUUCGGGUCAGCAAAGGAAUCUGGCAAUUAAUUAGCUAGCUUUUGAUAGUGUAUAAUCUUUUGGAUCUCCGAAUCAUAUUCUAGAGUCCGAGGAUCUUGCCAAUUUAAGGAUGUUUGAUUCCAUGAUAGCUCUUUGACCAGCUUGUGUUUCUCUCCACCCAAUGUUGGAUAUACCGAUUCAUCAAAUUGGCAAUCCGCAUAUCUGGCCUUAAAUAGGUCUCCAGUGGUCGGCUCGAGAUAUUUGAUGAUGGUGGGAGAAUCAAAACCAACAUAUAUUCCCAUCCUCCUAUGAGGUCCCAUUUUGGUUCUAUGUGGUGGAGCAAUGGGUACAUAGACUGAGCACCCAAAUGUUUUGAGAUGGGAGAUGUCUGGCUCAUGACCCUGUAAUAAUUGGGAUGGGGAAUAUCUAUGCUCACUAGAUGGUCGGAUGCGUAUUAGUUCAGCAGCAUGUAAUACUGCAUGUCCCCAAGCUGAGACCGGGAGUUUCGACCUUAAGAGUAAUGGUCGAGCAAUCCAUUGGAUUCGUUUAAUGAAUGAUUCAGCAAGUCCAUUCUGAGUAUGGACAUGUGCCACAGGAUGUUCAACGGUCACCCCCAUGGCCAUACAGUAAUCAUUAAACGUUUGGGAAGUGAAUUCACCAGCAUUAUCAAGACGUAUAGUCUUUAGUGGGAAGUCUGGAAAGUGGGCUCGUAAUCUGAUGAUUUGAGCCAACAACCUAGCAAAAGCUUGGUUCCGAGAAGACAACAGGCAUACAUACGACCAACGGGUCGAAGCAUCUAUUAGUACCAUGAAGUACCGGAAUGUCCCAGAAGGUGGGUGAAUGGGACCACAGAUAUCUCCUUGGAUUCUUUCCAGAAAAUGCAAUGUCUCUUUGGACACUUUUACUGGUGAAGGCCGAGUGAUCAACUUCCCUUGGGAGCAAGCUGUGCACAUGAGGUGCUGAGGGAAGAUUCGGUUUUCUCGAAGGGUGUGUCCUUGAGAACUUUGGAUUAAUUUACGCAUCAUGGUUGUACCGGGAUGACCAAGCCGGUCGUGCCAAAUAGUGUAGUCUUGGAACCGGGCUUUGAGAGCAUUAUUAGCCUCAAUCAUACUGACCUUGGCAUAGUAAAGGCCAGUAGAUAAAGCGGAUAUAGUCUCGAGGACUUGUUUAUGGCCAAGUGUGAUCUUAGUGAUCAGUAGGGAUUCUUUAUUCCCUUCACCCUGGGUUUCUAUGUGGAAACCAUUAAGUCUGAUAUCUUUAAAACUUAAAAGGUUUCUUUUUGAGCUGGGUGAGUAUAAUGCAUCUGGAAUGUCCAGAUGUGUGCCGUUUGAUAACAACACAUGUUCAGAUGAUAGAAUCAAUCGAGGAGAUCUGAGAUCUCGUAGUCCAUGGGAUCGGUCGGCUCGAUGGUGGUGUCGUUAGCAUCAACUUGCAGGGCCAUGUUAGCUUCAGCAGGUGCUUUCCCAUGUUUCUGAUAAAAAUCGCAAUGAAACUUGGGAAUACGACAGUUCUUUGUCCAGUGAUUGAACAUUCCGCAACUGGUGCAGGCAGACUGAUUGGUUGGGUGGGCAGGGCGGUUUGGUUUAGAGAUACCACGGCCCUUACCGGAACCAUAACCGAGGUUAUGUCGGUUGUCACGUCCAUUUCCGCGUCCACGCUUUCCACGUCCAUUCCCAUGUCCACGGCCACGAUUCUUUGCGGGAAUCUGGUACUGGAGCCGAUCCCGGGGGCCUCUGGGCACUGUUCCUCAUUAACAGCUCGUUGUUUUUCUCAGCCAAGAGCAAACAAGAUAACAAAUCUUCGUACAAUGUAUGUUUCAUUGCACGAUAUUGCUGCUGAAGCACAAUGUUUUGGGUAUGGAAGGUGGAUAAUGUUUUCUCGAGGAGAUCAUUAUCAGACACCUCUUCACCACAUAGUUUCAUGAUUGAAACUAUCCGAAAGAGUUCGGAGUUGUAGUCAUCCACAGAUUUGUAAUCUUGGAACCGGAGUUCCUUCCAGUCAAACUUGGCUUGUGGCAAGAGCACCGUUUUCUGGUGAUCAUACCGUUUUUUCAGGGCCACCCAAAGUUCGAGUGGGUUCUCAAGAGUGAGAUAUUGUUGUUUGAGGCUCGCGGCCAAAUGAUGGCGGAUAUGAAAUAUCGCCUGGGACCGGUCUUUAUCAGAGGCUUUGUUAUCCGCUUGGAUACACGCACCCAGUCCCUUUGAGUUGAGGAAAAUCCUGGUGUCCAGGGCCCAUUCGAGAUAGUUUUCACCGGAGACCUUGAGGGCCUCGAACAUGAAAUUGAUUUCAUUAGGGGUUUGUUAAAAUAAUAGUUGGAAAACUUUCUAUUUUAGGCAAGUUUCUAUUUGAGCAAACUUUAUAUUUGAGGAAUGUUUCUAAAUUGGGGAACUUUCUAAAUGAGGAAAAUUUCUAUUUUGAGGAAAGUUUCUAUUUUAGGAAACCUUCUAAAUGAGGAAAGUUUCUAUUUGAGGGAAACUUUCUAAAUGAGGAAAGUUUCUAUUUGAGGAAACCUUCUAAAUGAGGAAAGUUUCUAUUUGAGGGAAACCUUCUAAAUGAGGAAAGUUUCUAAUUUGGGAAACUUUCUAAAUGAGGAAAGUUUUCAUUCCGGGUCAUUUGCUAUUUGAGGAAAGUUUCUAUUUUAGGAAACUUUCUCGGGAAUCGUAAAUUUUAAGGAUACGGAACAUAAGUUCGGUUUAAUGGUUUAAAGUUGGACCGGAAUAUUAGAUUCCGGUUUGGGCCGAAUUGAUUUCCGGUUUAGAAUAACCAGUUUGAACCGGUUUACCCAGAUUGAGAUCCGGUUAUUAUUUUGGAACCGGUUUGAUAAUCGGUUUAACCGAUGAAUCGAAUUGAUAUUCGGGUUUAGGAGUUAACCGAGAAUGAUUUCCGGUUUAGGGGAUACACGAAAAUUGCGGUUUUAGAUUUGAUUUGAUUUAGGUUUUAAGAUUUCGGCCAUGGCUUAGUGUUUUCGAUUUUGAGUGUUAGGUUUAAGUAAUACAAGGUUUUUGAUCUUUAAGCUUUUAAGGUUUUGUUUUUACCUUUCACCAAUUGGGGUUAAACGAAUUGAACCGGGAGCUUAAGACCUCGGUAACUCACGCUGUCGAUGAACAGUACCGAUGAACAGUGUUUAUGAACAGUAUCGAUGAACAGUGUCGGCGUGAACAGUGUCGAUGAACAGUGUCGGCGUGAACAGUGUUGGCGUGAACAGUGUUUUGCGAUUUUUAGGGUUAGGGUUGUUAAGAGCAAACUCGUGCUGAUAACGUGUUGUGAAACUUAUUGUUGUCUCAUUCCAUUCCAUGAAUAAUGAUACAUAUAUAUAGGCAUAUAAACCUAGGGUUUUAGAGUACAUAAUGAAUAACCCUGAUGGGCUUAUUGGGCCCGGUUAUAAGUCCAAUAUGAUGUAUUAUAACAAAAAGAAUGAUACGUUAAGAAUUUGUUUAGAAAAGGUGAAAAACUUAAAUAAGAUGGAUUUUGAAUUGUCAAUGAAAAUUGUCAAAAUCUUGCAAAAACUAGAUUCCCUAUUUUUUAGGAAAACCAUUUUCACAAAAUCUUGAAUGGGUGAAAAAUGAGUUUUUCAAAAACAAAAACCAAAAACCAUUACAAAAACUAGUAAACAUUAGAGCAUGAUUAACGGUGGGUCUAAGACCAUGUCCAAGGCUCAAAAGAUCCAAAAAAUUAAUCUAAAAUGAAAUAAACAAUGAAUCUGGGUCCAAUUUUGGAUUUUUGACAAGCUUUGGAUCCGUCUACGUGUCUCAUUGUGGUUGGUGGAAAAAUAAGACAACACCCGAUUUUUUUUUUCCUCGUUUACUUUUCGUUCUUUCGCGAAUUGCUCUCUCUCUCUCUCUCUUUUUCAUCGGCGAUUUCACCAAGGAGGGACUGAAAUCGGAAGCAGACCAAGGAGAACUACUGUCGGAGAGUGUCUCCGACUGAAAUCAGAACCAAACCAAGGAGAACUACUGAAAACUGUUUGGAUUUAGGGAUUAGACGAUGCAUUUAAGGAAAUCCGAAGACAGUUCAACUUUCGUGAACCUGUUAUCUCUGAAGAAGAUGGUUGAUAACGUAAACAGAGUAAGAACAGAGUAAAUGCAAAAUAGUGUUCUCAAGGUUUUAUUAAUCAAACUGCUACAACGUUCGCAGAGGAACGCAGCAACACGUCCCACCUGCAAGAGACUCUCAAAGAGUACCUCCAGCAAAACGAUGAGGAGAGAGCACAGAAAGUUCUAGAAGAUUACACAAAGAAGAUGAAAUUGCAUAAUGAAAGUGUGAGAUAAACAUGUGCUCUUAUACGUGAAAUAAAGUAACGGAGUCAAUAACAGCUUCCGUCAUCGUUACUCUACAAGUAGAAUAUUUUAUCCUCCAGCUCAUCAAGUCACACGUGCUAUGCUACUCCACACGUGAGAUCGAGAAGCUUCUGGAACAUUCUGGAAUACUAUAUCAAAGCUCCCCUGUUCGAAGAACCUUGACCACAAGGUUCGAAGGAAGGAAACUUCUUCUGCACAUCAAAGAGAUAUUCCCAAGUUGCCUCUUCAGCUGAUUCAUUUUUCCACUGAACCAAGAUCAUUGUCGCAGCUUUUCCUUGAUGCUUGACCAUUUUUCGAUCCAAGAUCACCACGACUGCUUUGAGUUGAGAGACAUGGAAGACUGGGUGAAUGAGAGAUCCCGGGGGCAAGAGCAGUUUGUAAGCGACCGGGCACGUCGGUUAUUUUGGUGUUAAUGGCCUUGCAAUAGUACCAAAAUUCUUGACAAAACUGAAAUAGUAACCAUCAAGACCUAGAAAUCCUCGCAGCUGCUUCAAAGAUGUCGGAAUAGGCCAAUCUGCAACUGCUUGAACCUUCGCAGGGUCUGUUGAAACCCCUACUACAGCAAUAUAGUGUCCCAGAUACUCAAUCUUUGGUGUAGCAAACGCAAAUUUACUCUUUUUAGCAUAUAAACAAUGUUCCUUCAUUUUAGCAAAUACUUGUUGUAAAUGUUCCAUUUAAGUGUACCUCCCUUGAUGAACCUGCUCGAAGAUCCAUAUUUGAGAAGAUGCAAGACCCUCCUAAUUCAUCCAUAAGGUCUUCAAUUAGAGGGAUGGGAAAUCUAUCCUUUAUAGUUAAUCCAUUUAAGCCCCUGUAGUCCACACAUAACCUCUAUGACCCAUCCUUCUUCUUGACCAAGACCACUGGUGCUGCAUAUGGGCUUGAACUAACCUGAAUAGUACCACUCUGUAGCAAAUCCUCUACUAUCCUGUCAAUUUCAUCUUUCUGAUAAACUACAUAUCGAUAAGGCCGUUGAUUAACUGGAUCUGAUCCUUUGAUGAGAGGAAUCUUAUGGUUGUGAUUAGGACGGAAUGGUGGCAAUGAUGUUGGUUCUGAAAAAAUAUCAGCAAAUGCUUCUUUGAGUCGUUGAACAGCAGUGAAAGAAGCAUCAUCCAUGUUAUCAAGUUCUAGAGCUGAUAUACUCCAGUCCCCAGGCUGAUCAAUAACAUGAGCACUUAUCAUUGAAAGCUGCACUUGUUCCUCUUGCCCUUUGUUAAACUUGAUCUUCCUUACUUCCCUUACACUCCCUUGUUUUGUACC
Molecule: long non-coding RNA, 66917 nt
Filed under: Arabidopsis lyrata
Lineage: Eukaryota; Viridiplantae; Streptophyta; Magnoliopsida; Brassicales; Brassicaceae
Description: long non-coding RNA (ALYR_LNC002573)
Source: RNAcentral